UUUUUUCUCUUUUUUUUUUCUUCUUCUUUUUUUUCUCUUCUUUUCUUUUCUUUUUCCAAGGCGCCCUUUCGGGUUUUCACCUAAAGAACAAUGAGACGUCUCGACCAUGAUCGACUCAGAAAUAUGAGUUAAAGAUUUCGGGCAUCAGUAAAAUGCACUUCCCUUGUAAGAUUAGGCGAAGGCAUUAUGGACAUCACUUGCCAGGAAAGCCAGGACUUUGGGCUUUGUAAUGAGGUCAGGUGGGGUGUUUUUCAAGAAAAGUUGAGGCUUGAAAGCAAAUUUGAUGUGAGGUGUGAAAUAAUUUGAGAUUGCACUAUUUUGAAAUCAUUUCCGAUUUUGAACGAAACCGAGGAAAAUUUGCCCCAGUUUGAUCGGAUUUUCACUCUUUGCAUUUUCUUCAUUGUAUUUUCCUCACUUUUGCAUUUUUCUUUAAAAACUAAAUUUACCCCAGUGUGGGGUUCUCUUUUCUUUUGAUCACCUCUCUUUCAAAAUAAUUUUGCCCCAGUGUGGGGUUUGUAAUUCUCAGGGGUUAUCAAACGAAAAUUUGUCAAUUCUGAUGGCUCAAAGGGGACAAGUAGGGAUAAAAUGUUUUAAGCGUAAAAGAAGAUGGCCUAACUUGCAUUUCGCCAUUUGUAUGAAUUUCUAAAGAAAAUUUGCAUGAUCAAAUGAAAAACUUCUUGCACAUGUCUGAGUUGAUGGGUUGAGGGAAUGUCCGUCCAUCCAUUUCUGCCAAGAUAAGUGCUCCGCUAGGUAAUAUCUUUUGGACAAUGAACGGCCCUUCCCAAUUUGGAGCAAAUUUGCCUUUAGCUUCAUCUUGCAUUGGCAAAAUUCGCUUUAGAACUUUGUCACCUUCUUCGAAUGCACGCCGAUGGACUUUUUUGUUGUAAGUCCGGGCCACACGUUUCUGAUAGCAUUGACCAUGACAGAUAGCAUUGAACCGCUUUUCAUCGAUCAAAGUCAAUUGCUCAUGGCGCUGCUUUAUCCAAUCAGCCUCCUCCAAUUUAGCCUCCAUCAGGAUUCGCAGCGAAGGAAUUUCAACUUCAGCUGGUAAUACAGCUUCCAUUCCAUACAUGAGUGAAUAUGGCGUUGCCCCAGUCGAUGUCCGGAUAGAAGUCCGAUACGCCAUUAAUGCAUAAGGCAACUUUUCAUGCCAAUCGUGAUUCCUUUCAGUCAUUUUACGGAUAAUCUUCUUCAAAUUCUUAUUUGCGGCUUCUACAGCUCCAUUCAUCUGAGGCCUAUAAAUGGCAGAGUUGCGGUGUUUGAUCUUGAACUGCUCGCAUAAUCCAUCUACCAUGUCAUUGUUCAGAUUCUUGGCAUUAUCUGUAAUAAGCGUUUCGGGUACCCCAAAGCGACAGAUGAUGUGAUCUCUCAAGAAAUUGGCAACCACCUUCUUCGUUACAUGUUUGAAUGACUUCGCUUCAACCCAUUUGGUAAAGUACUCAAUUGCCACCAAUAUAAAUCGAUGUCCAUUCGAGGCGGGAGGAUCAAUUGUACCAAUCACGUCCAUGCCCCACAUUGAACAGGGCCAUGGGACGAUCAUACUAUGCAAUUCAAUGGGUGGAGCGCGUAUAACGUCACCAUGCAUUUGACAUUUUAUACAUCUCCGGACAAAAUCUAUACAAUCACGCUCCAUAGUAAGCCAGAAAUAUCGGGUUCUCAUGAUUUUCUUUGCUAGCAAAUGGCCAUUCAUGUGAGAUCCACAAACGCCACUAUGCACUUCUUUCAUCAUAUAUUGAGCUUCGUCUUCAUCAAUGCACCUUAAAAGGUUCAAAUCUGAGGUUCUUUUAUACAAAACUUCUCCACUCAAGAAAAAUUUUGAAACCAUUCUACGCAGAAAACUCUUGUCCUUUGUACUAGCAUGCAGAGGGUAAGACCCAGUUUUGAGAAACUCCUUAAUAUCAUUAUACCAAGAAAUAUUGUCAGAGGACUUGUCUACAACCCAACAGUGGGCAGGCUUGUCUUGAAGUUGAAUCUGAAUAGGUUCGAUCCCCAAUUCAUCUGGAUACUGGAUCAUAGAGGCUAAGGUGGCCAAAGCAUCAGCAAAUGCAUUUCGGGCUCGCGGGAGAUGUCUGAACUCCAAAUUUUGAAAUUGCUUAGCCAGAGUGAGCAAACUACAAUGGUAGGGCAAAAUUUUUGAAUGUUUGGUUAUCCACUGCUUCAAGGUUUGGUGCACAAGCAAAUCUGAAUCACUGAAAGCUAUCAACUCUUUGAUUUCCAUUUCUAAAGCCAUUUUGAGACAAAAAAUGCAGGCUUCAUAUUCAGCCAUGUUGUUUGUGCAAGCAAAUUGCAAUUUGGCAGCAGCAGGGUAGUGCUUCCCUUCGGGUGAAACCAAAACAGUUCCAAUUCCAGCUCCGAGAGAAUUCGAACCUCCAUCGAAGAAAAGCCUCCAUUCAGGGCUUUGCUCACCUAUAUCGUCCGUGGCGCCUACAAAUAAGACUUUCUCAUCAGGGAAAUAAGUAUGAAGUGGUUGAUAAUCAUCAUCCCUUGGGUUUUCUGCCAAAUGAUCAGCUAUAGCCUGCCCCUUGACAGCCUUCUGUGAAGUGAAAACAAUAUCGAACUCUGAGAGAAUUAUCUGUCAUUUAGCUAGACGUCCAGUUAGCAUCGGCUUCUCCAAGAGAUACUUCAAAGGAUCAGAUCGGGAAAUAAGAUAAGUGGUAUGGCUCAACAGGUAGUGUCUCAGCUUUUGAGCUGCCCAGGCCAAUGCACAGCAGCUCUUCUCAAUGAAUGAAUAAUUAGCCUCAUACUGCGUGAAUUUCUUGCUUAGAUAGUAAAUGGCUUGCUCCUUCCUUCCGGAGUCAUCAUGCUACCCGAUGACACAACCUACUGCUCCGUCGAGCACAGAUAAGUACAUGAUCAAUGGUCGGCCCGGUUUGGGUGGCACUAAGACCUGGAGGCUGCAGCAAAUAAUCUUUAAUCUUGUCAAAAGCUUGUUGGCACUCCUCAUUCCAGUACAACGGCACAUUCUUUCUCAACAAUUUGAACAGCGGCUCGCAUGUGGCAGUUAACUGGGCAAUGAAUCUCCCAAUAAAAUUAAUCUUUCCUAAGAAAAUUUUCACGUCCUUCUGAAAUUUCGGCACUGGCAUAUCUCGAAUUGCUUUGAUUUUUGCUGGAUCUAUCUCUAUACCUCUUUUACUAACAAUGAAGCCCAACAAUUUACCAGCUGGUGCCCCAAAGGCGCACUUUGCAGGAUUUAGUUUCAAAUUGUACUUUCGCAUCCUUUCGAACAGCUUCUUCAAAUCCACCAAGUGGUCUUCUGCUCUUUUAGACUUGAUUAUGAUGUCAUCCACGUAGACCUCCAUCUCCCGGUGGAUCAUAUCUUGAAAUAGGGUGGUCAUGGUUCUUUGAUAAGUAGCUCCGGCAUUCUUUAAACCAAAUGGCAUCACUCGGUAGCAAAAUGUGCCCCAAGGGGUGAUAAAAGCAGUCUUCUCCCUAUCUUCUUCUGCCAUCAAAAUCUGGUGAUAUCCGGCGAAGCAAUCACAAAAGGAUUCAAUCUCAUGCCCAGCGGUAUUGUCCAGGAGAAUGUGAAUAUUUGGCAGAGGAAAAUCAUCUUUAGGACUGGCCUUAUUGAGGUCUUUAUAAUCAACACAAACUCGCACCUCUCCAUUCUUUUUUGGAACAGGGACUGGAUUCAAAAGCCAAAUAGGGUAAUGAGAAACAAUGAUAAUAUUGGUUUUGAGCUGUUUUUCAAUUUGCUCUUUUAUUUUGAGACUCAUAUCGGGUUUGAAUUUUCGGGGUUUUUGUUUUACGAGUGGAAAAGUAGGGUCUGUGAGCAAUUUAUGCACUACCACAUCAGUUGAAAUACCAUUCAUGUCAUCAUAGGACCAUGCGAAUACAUCCUGGAACAUAGUCAAAAAUUCAAGCAUCUCUUUUUUCUGCCCCUCAUUCAAAUGAAUACUAAUUUGCACCUCCUUAACUUCAUCUUUAGUGCCAAUGUUAACCUUUUCUGUUUCUUCCAGGUUCGGUUUUGGUUUCUCCUCAUAUUGUUCAAAAUCCUUUGCAAAAGAAUCGAAUACCUCCUCAUUAUCACUCUCGCUUUGGGGUUCGGAUUCCCAGACCUCCAAGUCGUGAGUGAUAUAGAGAUUGUCAUUAUUGAAUUCCAGAAUAGUGAUAUCCAAAGGGUCAAAUAGUUUUAUUUUUGGCCAUCUGAAAGAAUUAACGAAUGUGGGAUAAUAAGCAAACAAAUAUACAACAAAUAAAUGAACAAGCAAUAUGACAGAAAUAUAAACAAACGAAUAAACAAAACAACAUGACAAGAACAACUUGUGCAUUUUCAUAAAACAUUUGAUUGAAAGCGAAAACAAAAGAAAGCAAGCGGAAACGAAAUGAAAACUUAACAAUAUUUUCACGUGCAAACUUUAGUCAAAGGUAAAGAUGCUUUCAUUAGCUAUUUACAGAUGCAGAAGUUUUUUCAUGAAUUCGCAUGAAUGACAACCCCUUUAGCUUUACCGAAACUCCUUCUGAACGGGCAGAAACUCGGCUGUCCAAUUGGAAAUUGAUCCUUCAGGGAUGUCGGGAAACUCGGCCUCAUCUGGGAAACUGUCUUCAAAUGUUGCCCCCACGAACAAUUGGGCCAAACCAGUUUCGAUUCCGUCAACUGGAUUAAUCUCUGAUGUGAUCACCUCGGUUGGUCGUGGAAAAGUAUAAUGCAGUGGUGGAAUAUCAAGGGCCUCUGGCCUGCCUUCUUUCUCUGCUCUCUUGUGUUCCUUCAUUUCUUUGAUAUCUUUAGCGGUUGGUCGGAAACCCAAACCGAAUGAAUCCUUUUUUCUCCACAACUUCCACUGGCUUCAGAAUUCCUUGCAGAUCACGUCCCAACCCUUUGUCAAACUCAUAUCCUCCGCGGAUCAUUUCCUUAGCCAUCAUGACACUGGCCUUUGACAGAGCUCGUUCCUCUCUUGUUAUCCAACUUAUGGAGACGAUAUCAGCUGUGCUAUGAGGGGUCACUGUGGCGUUUCGACUACCAUCUUCUUCGGAUCCAGAAUCAGCAAUUACGAAGCAAUCCUCCUCGGCAAAGAUAGUUAUCAAUUUGUCAUUUACUAUGAAUUCCAACAAUUGAUGCAAUGAAGAGGGCACAGCUCCGGACUUAUGAAUUCACGGCCUUCCAAGCAAAACAUUGUAAACACUAGAAAAAUGCAUGACUUGGCAAGCUAUUCGAAACUGUGCGGGCCCCAUCUCGAUGACUAAAUCCACUUCUGCUAUAGGUUCUCUUUGUGCUCCAUCAAAACCUCUUACUAUGGUCCCUGAAGAUCUCAACUUGAUAUCUUGCAACCCUAGCUUUUCCAAGGUACUCCAAGGACAGAUAUUAAACGCAGAUCCAUUGUCAAUCAACACCUUUGGCAACAUUUUCCCAUUGCACCUCACAGCUAUGUACAGAGCCUUGUUAUGUCCAAUACCUUCUGCUGGUAAUUCAUCAUCGGAGAAAGUGAUUUGCUUUGUAGAUAAUACAUUUCCAACUAUAUGAGAGAAAUUAGCAACCGAAAUGUCCUUAGGGAUUUGAGCUUUAGUCAACACUUCGAGCAACGCAACCCUAUGCACAUCCGAAGAAAAAAGCAGAUCCAACAUGGAUAUUUGGGCGGGCGACUUGCUUAGCUUCUCGACUACGUUAUAUUCGCUUCUUUGCAGCCUUUUAAGAAAAUCCAAGGCUUCUUUCUCAGUAAUUGUUGGUUUAGCGGGCUGCUCGGGGCUGUUUGUUUGAAUCGGAACAGUAGCUCCAAGCGGACUUGCAAUCCUCCCUGAUCUAGUGACCACUGACACCUCCUCUUUGGCAACUGGUUUUCCUCUAAUUUGUAUGACAGAUUCAUUGUAAUUCCAUGGCACUUGCUGCAAACUUAGAACAGGCUCCUGCCCUGGGAAUUCGAUGACUACUGGCUCCAAAGCCUCGCUCUCAGCUGGAGUGAGAUCCAAAAUAAAAGGUCUUUUAUCCUCCUCAAACGGUUCAUCUUCUAUUAUGAAUGGUCGGUCUGUGACCCCAAACACCUCAGCUUCCCUUGCCAAUUUUUGGGCUAGCUCGUCAUACUCUGCGUCGUCCAGAAUGACCCCAAUGGUAUUAGCAUGUUCCGGCAAGGGGUUCCUAUUUAUAUUCGACCCUUGUGCCUCCCUUUUCCUAAUUACAAUCUUUCCAGCUUCAAUCAUAUCUUGAACUUUAUGCUUAAGAGCCUUGCAAUCCAAAGUUGAAUGUCCGGGUGCCCCUGAAUGAUAAGCACAGACAGCUUGCGAGUUAUACCAAGCGGGCAUGCCAUAUGGAUAGGUAGAAGGGGGUACCAUACCAAUUUUCCCGGCGGCCUUUAACUGGUCAUACAAUUGGUCUAGAGGCCUGUCUAAAUUGGUAAAUGUACGGCUAGGGGGUCGAUUGUAAGGUUCAGGAGGUUGAGGAUGGUUGUAAACAUGUCUAUUUGGGGGAGAAAAUCUUGGGUUAUAUGGAGGGCGAGGUCGGUUUUGGGGCGGAUUUGGUUGAGAAAUUUGAAAAGGAGCUAAAGGUGGGUUAGGAUAGCUUGGGCGAGGUUGAGAGUGGUGGAUAUUGGUAGUAUAUAUAUGGUGCGGGUUUGAAUAAUAAGGGUAAUGUGAUUGGUAAGUUGGAUUGUGUUGGUAUCGGGGUUUGGGUGAAGGAUUCUGGUUCCAGAUAAAAGUUGCAUCCCCCUCUUUCUUUUUAAACUGCGAUUUCUUUCCACUACUUCCUUGCCCUUGCAAAGCUUCUAAUUGUGAUUUUAAGGCAGAAACGUUGACAAUUUUUCCGGCUCUCACAAAAUCAUCAUACUCUUCGAGUUUGUUCACAAUCGCAGCGAAUGUACACCCAGUCAUAUGAAAGAUUUCUUCAAAGUAUGGAGGAUCAUGCGCCUUUAUGAAAGUGCGAAUAAUUUCAUCUUCGGUCAUCGGAGGCUCGACCUUGGCAGCUAUCUUUCUCCACCUUUUGGCGUAUGUCUUAUGAUCUUCAGAUGGUCGCCUCUUGGUGCCUUCCAAAAUAGUUCUGGUCGGUGCUAGCUCACAGUUAUAUUCGUACUGUCUGAUGAAGGCGUUGGACAGAUCAAGCCAAGUCUUCACCUCCUCCGGCUUUAAGUUUGAAUACCAAUCAAGGGCGUCUCCUUCUAGACUCUCUGGAAAUAACCUUAAUGGUAAGUUUUCGUCAUCCACCGGCUUGCCCAACUUGUUGGCAAACAAACGCAAGUGUGUCUUAGGAUUGCCAGUACCAUCAUAUUUAUUGAACUUCGGGGUCUUGAAUCCCACGGGCAGCUGUACAUUUGGAAACAGGCACAGAUCAUCGUAGUCUAACACCCCCUGCUUGCUUAAACCUUGGCUUUUCCGGAUGAACUCAUCGAAACGAUCCAACCGCUUAAGUAACUUCAGAUCAAUCGGGGCAGAUAACUCCCCCACUUCUGGCUUGGUUUGAACAGUGUUGUCCGGCACAACAGGCUCUGCAAUAGUCUGAUAAAAAGCUUGUGGAUCCGGAGGCAUGUUUGGACCACCUUGACCACCUUGAGGCUGAAAUCCUUGCCCAUAGGGAGGAUAGAACGGAAGAUUUUGAGUGUAAGUAUACUGCCGGUUGAAAACUCCCUCAAAAGUGGUUUGAAUUGGAGGGAUGACAAAUGGUUCGGAUUCCGGUUGUUUGACGGGCGGAGGCUCGGGUUGCACUCCGCUACUAAUGAGUUCGUCGAUCAACUUCUUUUGGGUGGCCAUUUCAGAUGCCAUUUCCCCAAAUUUGGUGAGUAAUUCAGUCAACUGAACCCCGGGACUUGCGGCUUCCGGCUGGGUAGUUGCAGUGGUCUUAUCAGACGAUUCUGGCUGAGUACUCAUGUCUACACGAUUCCUUUGGGCUUUACUACGGGAUCGCGUUAUGAUGGGGCUUUGACGAGAAGCUAUGUUUAAAUAUUACCUAAAAAUACGAAAUGACGUGCUUUUAGAUUUAGCCCUGAUUUAGCCUUUUUAACAAAAAUAAAACAAAGGAAAAGAAAAAGACAAGAGUUAGUAGAUGUUCCAAAAAUUCGGAUGCAUGUCCUAUUGGGGGGCCCUUUUUGUGCCAAGGGUAGGCCUAGCAUGAUGCAACACCUUCGAAAUGGGACCCGUACAGACCUGUUUUUGACAACAAUUCUAAAUAAGUGCAGAAGAGAAAUCGCUUUCAUUGAUAAACUUGCCAAUAUUUACAUCAUGUUACGAAAACGACUCCGUACAAAAUUGCCAAAACUUCUGAACCUAUCUAAUACAGAGUCCUUUGUUUCCCUAGCAUAUGGAAUUCUAACACGUUCAGCUUGGUCAUAUAAUUCUCCGCAUUUCCUUUUCAGCUCUUGACGCUUUUCUCGUUCAUUUUCAUACAAUUACUUGUUUUGCUCCGCCAUCCCUUUGUAUGCUUCGACAGACUUACUUAACUGCAGAAUUUCCUUAUCUUUUGCUUCGACAAUGGCCUUCAACCUUUUCACCUCCUCAGAUGGCUCAUCUUGAAUUUCUUGCGCAGCGGAUCCUCUUACCCAGUCUUCGUAUUGUGUAGUUGUCAAACCCUUUUGCUUGAGUUCCGGGAGGUAUUGAAAUCUCUCGUCAUCCGACAGUGUCACCCAUGCCUCGAUAAUCUAGUCUUUCAUAGGGAGCUCGUUUGGGCACAUUCCUUUACUGAAAACGGCAGUAAGCUUACUCAUAUCAACCACAGGCGGCACUUCUUGUAUACGUCUUAACUGUCUGAGGAACCUCUUUGGAGUGUAUGCGGCGAUUCCUUGGGUACCCAAUAGGAGAACAAAAUCUGACACUUUAGUGCGGAGUAUCGGCCUAAGGCAAAUCGUCCAGUCUAACACCCACCUAAUGUCUUCAUCUGGCAACAUCUCUAAGUAUUUGACACAUUCAACCGCAUCAUUCGGCAGACCCCUUCGUUGACUCGCUUAUGAUGCGUGAUUACCCAGUUGUACCCAACUACUGGCAAACUUUCCGGAACGGAUGCUCGUCUCUUAAAAUGUUCUAAGGCCCAGAUAUGUAAAACUAUAUGAGCCCCGUAGAAGAACUUUUCCCCUUUCUGGCAAUUGGUACAAGCUAGAAAAAUGUCCGCAAGGAUGGUCGGGAUUAUGGUGCAUUGUUUACUUCGGAUUCCUGAAAAGAGGUCUUGUAUAACCUUUGCUAUCUUGAAAGCUAUUUUCUGAUCUCUUCUCGGGAAGAAAUAAACUCCCGCCAUAACUAUUGCAUACACCACUGGCCUUUUGCAUUCCCAAACAUCCUUGGAUGUGAAUGAAAAAUCCUCCCUAUAUCUCUCGAACCCAUUUCGUAGUGCAAAAUGCUCAAACAAAGUGUUCACGGGGACUGCCUGAUCCGACCCUCGCAAUACAGCCUCUCUCAAUCCUGUGAUCUUGCAAAAUUCUAUCUUGUCUGAAACGUAUGGGAAAAUCAAGGCGGUUCCAUGCAAUGGUAAAUUGAAGAGGCCGGCGAUUUCCUCAAGUGUCACUGUCAGGUGCUUAUUGCCUACCCUAAAGGCCGAACAUUCCGGAUCCCACAGAUGUACUAAUGCCUCCACUAGAUAGCCAUUGGGCUUGAUCUCCUUAAGGUCUCCAAUUGGCCCUAAGUAUUGAGCUACUUGAUGUAAUUCGCUAGGUAGCAUAAGGGCAGGCCAUCUUUGAAUCUCGGCCGACGGCACCAACAACUGGUAGAUUCGACGGGGGCACUCCAUCUAAAAAUGGAAGAGGCGGGUUGUCAAUUACCUUACCUACGAGUCCCAUUCUCCGGUUGGCAAGAAUUUAAACGUGCAAUCCCUUGAAGGGUUAUGUACCCAUGGGAACAAACAAGGUGAGUUCAAUCCUAAUAGCGGGAUCCCCUAAAUGGCAUUCCCCUUCUAGGGUUUAUGCAUGAUGCCAGUUUAUUAAAAUAGUAAAAUACGCAAUUUGAAAUGAAACAUGACCUAAGGGACCCUUUAUUUGCCAGGAUAAGUCUAAAAUGAAAUGUAUUCAUGUUACGCAUGUGAAGCACUGAAUUUAAACGUGUCCAUCAAAUGGGGUAGGCUCCUAGAGAGUGUGCCAUGCCAGGACUCUUAUUUUCUAGGGCUAAUGAGUGCAAUGGAGACAAAAAUCAAGAAAUGUUAGUUCAAUCACAUAAAUACACAUAACACAUUGUAGUGAAACAAUACAAAGAGAUAAAGCAAUAAAAGAAAAAGGGGUUGGAUCCCUCCCCUUGUGAAUAGUGUCCCUAAUUCAGGAUAAGGCCGACUCUUUCCUAGGCAAGCUAUCAUGGAUGCAUUAGGUAUUGGCUCACUAAUGCAUCUAGAUUCGAUAGGUUUUAGGUCCCCGAGCCUUCAGACUUGGAAACCAAGGGUUAUCAAUUCUAAGGUUCUUUGUCGGUGGCUCGAGCGAUUCCCCAAACAUUGCUACGCACACAUCGUGUCACGGCUACAUGUCAUGAGUGAAUCUAUCAAAAAUCCUCAAUCUUCAAUUAAAAGUUAGAGGUUAUGAACCCAAAGCUUAAAAUGGAAGAUUGAGUGACUUCUCGGAUCAUGCUACGCACACAUCGUGUCGCGAUCACAAGUCCAAGUGAGUCGCCUAAAAUCCUAAUAGGGUGGAUUGGCAUGACAAGCCACUAAAAGAAAAAUAAAAGAGGGGUGAAAAAUUAAAGCGUAUGCACGUAUGCUAGUGCUCGUUUGGAGGGGAGGGAUCGAGAACCAAAGCGCGAGAAUCUAGGGUAAUGUCUCCCCACCCCAAAUGCAAUGCAAAGCGCGGAAUAAAUCAAGUACAACAUACAUCCAAAACAACCCAAUCAUACAUACGUGAGUGAGGGAAUAGUUUGAUACGCGCGCGAGGCAAAAAGUCCUAAAAUAGAAAAUGCAACCCUAAUAUCCAAAUGCUAUGCAUAAAAAGGGUAGAAAAGGAAAAAAAUGGCCAAAUCAAAUGCUUGGACCCACUUAGAAACUCCCCAGUGGAGUCGCCAACUGUCGUGCCCCACUUUUUGAUGGCGUGUGAAUGUAGUGUGUGAGAUAUGUAUGUGAACGUGUGUAAAAAUGAAGAUAAAAGGCCGUGGGACUUGAAAAUGCGACGAUUCGGCCAAACAAAGUUCAAAAAGGGUUUUUGAAUGGAAAAUAGAGUCGCCACUUGGUAUAGAGUUAUGGUGUACCAAGUCACCCAAAAAGUGAUUUUUGAAAAGAAAAGUAAACAAACCCUUUUUGAAGAAUUUUUUUAGGUCUACGUAACCAAAGCAAGGGAUCGGGGGUCACAUUUGAUAAGGGAGAAGGCAAAGGCAAAGCCUAAGGCACUCCCUUACCCUAGCCAAAGCUAGUUGCGUGACUUAGCCCCUCUUUUCCUAAUUUCUUCUACCCAAAGUAUGUGUUGCAUGUUGGAUAUGACUAAUGGAUAUGACAAAAAUGCAAUCCUAAAUCUAAAAUGUCUCUUAUGAGACUUUUUGGUCCCAACCACAUGAGUUGUGAUGGCCAAUAAGGAAAGUCCUCAUAGAGGUCGCGAAUGAUGCAAAUGAAGACUCAAAUAUGAAUGCAAGUGUGAAAAUGUAAGAAAACGUGCAUGUGUGCAAAUGUAAGACAAGUGCAUGUGUGCAAAUUGAGAAAAUAAAAGGUGUUUGUGUGCAAAUGGAUGAAAAUAUGACAGUAGAUACAUAUAAGUGCAAUUGGGUGCAAUUUGUGAGGUAGAAAAACAAGUGACAGGAAGAAAAAUGUGUGAACAUGGCAUUUGUAUUGAGAAGGAUAUAAGUAGUGAGAAAAUGUGGAUAAGAGGGUGAUGGAGUGACAUGAUGAGAAUGAAAAUGUAUGAACCUAUAGGAAUGCAUCAAGUCGGGUACGGGAAUGACUCCUAACUUUAUGACUUUAAUUUUCCCUUUGAUUAGAAGGAGGAACUAGCGUGCUAAGGCUAUUUUUGCAGCCACACUCGCUCGUUUCCCUUAUCGAAAGGGGAUACUCAAGCAAAUGUACCCUAUAACUAGCAUGAAUAUGCAAAAACCUAAAAUGAAGGGGAAAGGAUUGGAGGGCCAUGCCAAAUGCUAGAAAACUAAGAAAAAUGCAUGAAAUGUAGUGAAACAUGCAAGUAUGAACUAGCGAGGGAAAUCCCUAAGGGGCUAGCGUUGGACUAGCCCAUAUCUAUGAAUUCCUACUAGCGUUGGACUAGUGGAAGACGGGACAAUGAGCCACGACUAGCGUUGGACUAGUGUGGUGACGUGCCUUCAUCCAUCAUAUUCAUCUACGACUAUAGAAAGCAAGUAGACAUGCAAAUCAUCUAUGAACACGUAGCACAUAACACUUAGCAUGCUCGACUAAAUGCAAGAGCCUAAUAAAGCAAAUUAACACAUAACAACAAAGCAAGCAAUGAACCUAUUACAUUUGCUAACUAAAACAAAGGGGGGAAGGGGAAAAAUGAAUGAAAAUGCUUGCCAAGCCCUAUCUAUUACAAGCCAAGAGGUGUACACAUACCCCAUAAAAGAAUAACUUAAUAAAAGCAAAAGUAAAUGAAAUAAAUGAAAGGAAUUAAAGAAAGGCAAGGAAAGCAAAGUAGACAUGCAAUUCUCACUUAGCACGUUGAAUCACAUAGGAGAGACAAAAAGGGAUAAAAGAAGUUGUACCUCCUCCGUUUGUAAUGCUAAUAAGGUGAACAAGACUUAACUUGGGCUAUAGUCACCAAAGAAAGAGAUAACUUGGGCUGAAUCGAGGAAUGGAGAAAUGGCUCGGAUGAUUCGGUCAAACCUUCAAAAAAACGUCAAUGGAAGAGCGAUGAUGACGACGCAAAUCCCUCUUCGUCCUCGCGGCUGAAAACCUUCUGGUUUAGCUUUCCUUCAGCAGUCAACAACCCUCUUAACAAUCUUCCUUUUCUUUUCCGACUCCAAGCUUCCCGGAUUUCCUAGCCUUUUCUUCCUCACGCGUAGGUUUCUGACUUCUCCUCCCUUGUUUCCACCACUUCUUUUCUUUUCUAGCCGGCCUUCUCUCUGGUUUUUCUCAGUUGUUACCCCCAAAAGCCCUCUCAGCAGUUGUUUCUUUUCUCCUCUCUCUCUCAGACUUUAGCCCAGAUUUCUCUUCCCUUUCUUUUCCCUUUGAUGUUUUUCUAUCUCCCCCGAUCCUCUCCCUCCGUUGCGGCUGCCGUUUUUUCUUGUAUUUAUACCAGACAAACCCUCACCUCAAGGGUGAGGAUGGAAGAGGAGAUUUCUCUCCAACCCCAGGCCAUCCGAUGGGCAUGCGCGAUUGUCCUUGCAAGCUGCGUUUCCGCAGCUUGCAUGUAAAAUUUAUUUUUUAAAAAAAAAAAAGUUAACAAACUUGAUAAUAAAAUUAAGUAAAAAAAACAACAAUUUAAUUAACAUUGGAUAAAAAUAAACAAACUAGAAAUAAUAAACAGCAAAUUUGCAAUUUUUCAUUUUUCCUUUCUUUUUUCUUUAUUUUUUUCAUUUUUUCAUUUUUCCAAGAAAACAUUGAAUUUUAAAUCAAAACAAUUAAAACAUAAUUUUUGAAUGCUUUUCCUUUUUCCCAAGAAAUUCUAUGCUAAAGCUUAAAAAUAAAGCUUAAAAAUAAUAAAAUAAAAAACUAAAAACUAAAAACUAAAAGUGAAUAAACCUAGCACGACAAACAAUAAAAAAUAAAUGAAAUUACACUGAAAAUUUGGUGUCUACAAAGUACAUUUCUCAAGUAUAAAAAGAGAUGCCAUUAACCAAGGAAGUUAGGCAACCAAGAAGAAUCAUCAAAAGAUGAUUAAUCCUUUGGAAACUAAGAUUCAAGAUAAAGGUUUAAAGUUCAAAGAGACCUUAUAUACAACCAUGAAAUUAAACUUAAAAUGGACCCACAAUCUCAAAGGAAGGUGGAAAGUUCUUAAAAGAGUACUUUGUUUGAAACCAGAAAAUUUCCAGCUUGGUGUACACUAUUUGGAAAAAUCACAUCUCGAGUUCCGUAAGUCCAAAAAUUGAAAACUUUAUACCGUUGGAAACUAGACUCAAUGCACUAAAACUCUCUAGAAGACACUUUUUUCUAGAAUCCAAUUCAAAAUCAUUCAAAUCUUAGCUCAAAGUCACUGUUCCAGACAGGACAGAGCAAAACAGGCUUGCAAUUCAGUAAACUUUGAAAAUUUGGCAAAAUUCAUAAAAAUAGAAUCAGCCCUUGAAAUUUAUAUCACUAAUAUAACUCCAAAUUUAGUUUCAAAUGCAAUGAAUGGAACUCAAUUCGGACCUUUCUACACCAAGAUACAAUAGUUUUAAGAAAACUGAUUUUUGGAACCUGUUUCACGGAAUUUCUAGUUCUGAAGUACUUGACAGAGUUGUAAAAUCUGGUCAUAACUAAAGCUAUACAACUCAAAAUUUAGCAUGGUUUGCAGUGUUAGAAAACUAGAUUUAAAAUGAUAAAAAUCACUAGAAGGAACUGUCUUAAAAUUAGUUUUGCAAGAUAGAUGAAAAUGAGCUACAAACUGCAGCUAUGCUUGUUUCUCGGAUGAAAGCAGUGAGAAAAAUCAGUCAUUUUUGCUGGUUCACUACGGCUCAUAGAAAAUGAAUUAGGGGGUAGAUUUUAUACCGUUGGAAAGCCAUCGGAAUUUAGCCACAAACGGCACUUGGUUUCAACUGCCAGACAAAAAGUUAUGGGUCAAAACGUGGACACUAGUCUGGUUUCCUGAUCAGAAAAUUUUUCAGAUUUGCAACCUCACUUUCCCCUACUUUAACUCAACCAAUUGUAAUACUUUUUGGGAGAUAUUUAACACACAUAAACACCAACAUAUAACAAGCAUUAUAGCACCAAAAUAACAACAAAAUUCAAAAUUAACAUGAGGGAAUCAACUAGCAAAAUUUCGGACAGCAAGCCUCUUCCUUUCCUCAAGUUUUCUUUUCAACUUCCCAACCAAAACUAAGCCAUAAUUCAUCAAAACAAGCACCAAACAAACAAGUAGACACACAAUAAUCCUCAAGGCCUCUACCUAUGAAGCCACCUCAAGUCCUCUAUCUAGUGUCAAGGUUCUUUUGAACCCAUCAACAACCCAAUAAUUAACUAGAUAGAACUAACUAACUACUAUAAGUUGAGAGGAAAAAAUGAGAGUUUUGGAGAAUUACCUUGCUUCCAAGAGAUGAAAGCCAACCACUAGUGUAUAAGUUCUAAACCACCAAAGUUCCUUCCUCCUUCAAGUCACGCUUCAAGCUUGUGUAAUGAACCAAGAAAGAAGCAAGUUUGGAAUGUCUUCUUGGAGCAAAAGUGGAAGAAAUCUAGCUGAAAUUUUGUUGAGAAAGGAUGGAGGAAGGGCCGGCCAAGAGGGAAGAAGAAGGGAAGGGUUUGUGUGGUAGUUGGUGAAGUGACGAGGUGAAAGGAAGAAAUGACAUAAAAGUGCUUUGGUACCCAAAAAGUCAACAAAUGAAUAGGAGCCAUUUAGUGCUCUUAAUUGAGGUUAAUUUAACUCACUCAUCUCUAAUCGCACAAUUAACUUUUCUUAACCUACUAUUGAUCAUCCUUAAUUCUCCAAGAUUAUAGCACUCUCGGACCGAAUUUUGACUCGAAAAACGUGUAAUCGCUAUUUCUUACUAAACGAGCCGCAGAAAAAUUAAUUUUUAGUAGCGAAAUAUUUUAAAAUAUAAAAUGAGACAUUGAUCUAUGCAAAUGAAAUUAAAAUGAAUGAAAUAAAUUAAUUGGAGUAAACGAAUAAUUAAAUAAUUAAAUAAGCCAGUAAAAUAAAGUAAGUAAAAUAAGAAUUUGGGUCCUCACAUUAAAUGUCUUCUUUAUUUUCAAAUUUCGAAUAAAAGAAAAUGAACAUGAGUGAAAAACUAACAAUUUUUUUAAACCCAUGUAUAUAUCUAUUUAAUUUCACUUGAGUAGUAUAAAUAGUAUGUAAUAUAUCUCUAUUUGAUUUCGCAUGCUAUUCGUACUGUUCAGGUAAAAUCAAAUAAAUAUAUACUUGGAUUUAAAAAAAAUUAUUCAUACAUAUGAUCAAUAAAGGAUGAAAAAAUUUAUUUUGAAAAAUGUAAAGCGUGAAAAAAUUCAUUUUGUGAAAUAUGAGGGAUUAUGAAUCGAAUUAUAUAAAAUUUGAUUUGACAAUUUUGCCCUUAAAAUAUGAACAUGUGUAAGGCACGUGGUAGAUUCUGAUAAAAAACUAGUCGGAAACCUAAGUAGGGAUCAAAUUUGACCAAUGUGAAUUUGUAAGGGACAUAAAAUUAUAUUUUUAAAAGUGGGGGACAAAAAAGUUAUUUUGCAAAAUAUGAAGGACGUUUUGAAUAAUUUUUUCUUUUAAACAAUGAUCAUAUUUAUAUUUAUAAUAGCCAAACUAGUCAAUAUGGUGGAAUCUUUCAUAACUGCAGAAUUCGCAACUUGAAAUAGUGAGAUUUUGUAUUUCUAACUCAAUCAGCAACUUUCAAGUUGCUACACCAUAUGAAAACUUAAUAGAAUUGCACAUAUUAAUGAUUAUUGUGUAAUCAAAAGAACAUAUAACAAGCAAUUAUAAAAUUAAAAUGUAAUGUGAGAUGAUUUCAAUAGUUUUAUAAGUAUAAAGCCAAAAUUCUUAGUGUGGUCAUAUUUCGACACCUCAUUAGCAUGUUUGAACGUGCACGUGUAUGUAUUUAUGGGAGUAUGCAUGUCUGUACACAUGUAUGCAUGUGUGUGUCUAUAUAUAGUACAUUUUUUUAUACAAUAUUAGUGUACAAUUUUCUUACAUUAGUAAGUUUGUGAGGACCCGAAAAAUUUCUUAUUUUUAUUGAAUAUUAUUGGUUUAUUUAAAUAUUUAUUCACCUAUUUUCUCCAAAUAAUUUAUUUCAACCUUCUUGUAUUCAAUUACGUAGAAUUAUGGCUCACAUAUAUUUUUAAAAUGACUUGAUUCCAAAAUUUCAUUUUCAAAAGCUCGUUUAGUGAGAAUAGUGAAUAUGCGUUUGGAGAUAAUAGCCGAUUUGAGAGCACAAUGACCUUGGAAAAUUGGAGACUUGUACAUUAGUGUUAAAAUAGGUAUUUUUAUGUUUAAGUGCUCAAAUGUUAGUUAUACCAUCGUUAUAAGAAAUUCUUAGAGAUUCCACUUUAUCGCGCACAACUCGGGAGUACGCGUUUUUACGCGCGCGAUUAAUUGAAGGACUUUAGACCUUUAUUAUUAGACCAUUAAGAGUGAAUAAUAAUAGUAUGAAUACAAGUGCAUUGGAGUUUUAGUGCACAAGUGAAACCAACUCGAGAGGAAUCGAGCACGAAACGCGCGCGUAAGCGCACUAUCCUUAGUUGACUUUUGAAGCAUUUUGGGCCACACAUUCUUAUGCUUCUCAUGGAAGCAUCACACCAGAUCAAAACCCUUCUCUUCAUCACCUCAAGUGGCGCUGCAACUCUGCCUUUCUUCCACUUAGCAGCCGUGCACUCCAUGGAAGAAAAAGACCAACAAUUCUCUUCAUUUCACCUCACAAUUCUUGCUCAAAUCACCUCAAAUUUUACGAACAACUUGCUAAACACUUGGUGAACAACCUAAGCUAGGAAAAGAGCUUGCUUUCCACGGUUUUCUUUAACUAUCAAGGGCCGAAAAUUUCUGCUUGAGUCACCAACAAAGGUAAUCAACGAUCAACCUUUCAAUUCUUGGUUUAUGGAAGCUACCUUGCACUUAUAAGCUCAUAUAUUCUUGUGGGUAGCUUUAUUUAUGUUGGAAUUUGGUGUGUGGGCUCUAUUAACUCCCACUAUGGCUUGAUGGACUGAUUUUGUGAGUUUUGAUGUUAUUAAUGUUGAAUUAGUGCUUAAAUUAGUAGAAAUAAGUGAUAUUAUGGAUGAAAGCUCAAAGGAAGUGAAGGGGAGAAUUUUUCCGUUUCUGCCCCUGUCAAUGCCAUGACCCUUAGAGCAUUUUUUUGAGAUUCAAUUGACUUGUUUAUGAUGUAUAUAUGUUGAGUGGGCUGUGUAGAAAUUUUCAUCAAAAAAUUACGUGAUUUGGUUGACCAAAUGUUGUGAUUUCGAAAGUUCAUCAAAACUGGAAUUUUUCCCGUAUUGCUCGGGCAGUGUUUCUGUUUUGGUCAUAACUUUUUACUCCGAUGUCGAAAUUGAGUGUUGUUUAUGGAACUAGAAACUAGAUAUUCCCAGUUUUCCAAUGGUAUAAAAUGUACAUCCUGAUUCCAUCUGAGCUAGCCGUACCAACCUUGUAAAUUUGACUGUUCUGUUUCGCGUCUGCACUGGAAGCUCUGCUUUGGGCAGCGACUUGAUGCUCAAAUAUGAGCUAGUUGUGGAUAGAUUUUUAAAAUGAUUCCUUCUGUGAAAUUGUAUCCUUAUGAGUGUAGUUUUCAACGCCACCAACCACGCUCAAUUCCAAGUUGAAUUGAAUGAGUUGUGGCUGAAGUUCGAAACUGACUCAGGGAUUGAAAACCCUCUUUUGGCUAGAUGAUGUCUUAACCUUGAUUGGGACUUGUUGUUUCGAAAUUUUUGGUGUUAAUCACCUACCAAACGUAUCUUGAAUGUUUUUUAGUCAUUUUCUACAUAAAUGAACUAUAUUUGAGAUGUUUUCAUUGGCCGAAUAUUUAGAAAAGGAAAAUUUGCAUACAAAGACAGAUUUGCCUUGGAAAUUGUGGGAUUUUAGUGAUUUUGUUAACCCACUUCCCGUAUGUAUUUUUCUAUGAAAUUAUACAGAGGAAUAGCCCUUAUAUGGUAGUGUAAUACUGCCAAGUUUGGUGUCAUUCCAAGUCCAUUUCGAUGCUCAACCAAAGUCCCAAAGUUUGUGAUUUAAACCUGGAAAAUCUUCGUUCAAAGAGGAAAUUCAGCAAAUUUGAGCCAGCAUAUCUUGGUACUCGAAACUCCAAUUCUUGUUCCGCUUGUUGUGUUGAAAACUUUGAUUGUAACUCUAAUUCAGUUCCAAAUUUCAGAGGCUAGUUCACAUUGUGUGAAUUUUGCCGAAUUUCCAAAUUUUGUCAAAAAUCAACCCAAAUCUGUCUUGACUUUCCAAAACAGCGACUUUGAGCCGAUUUUGAAUACCUUCCAUUUGGAAUCAUGGAAAAGUGUCUUCUAAGAAUUUUUGGUACUUUGGAAGAGGUUUCCAACUAUACCAAUUUUUUCAAUUUUGGACUUGUAGAGUGUGAGAUACGAUUUUUCCAAGAUCGUGAGACAAACCCGAAAUUUCCAAACUUAAAAGAAGUUGAGUUUUUAGAACUCAUCUUUUUCCUUCGAUAUCACUUGAUCAUUUUACACUUGAUUUCAAAGAUGAAAACUAAAUUUCUCUUGUAUUUUAAUACUCCACUUUUGAGUCUCGAUUUACGAGAAAUUAAGGCUCAUUUUCAUGAGAUUUUCUUAGAUUGUACUCUAGUAUAAUCUUCUUCGAUAAUUGGGGUUUAUAAGUGAUUGUCCAUUAUUAAUUACUCAGGCACGCACGAGAACCUUCAAGAGGAUCCCACGGUGGACGCCUGAACUUUGAGUGACAUUCCUUCUUUGAUAACUUGGUGAGUGUCAAGUGUAUGUUAAAUGCUUAUGUGAUUGAGAUAUUAGUUGUACAAGUGUUAUACAUGAUACGUAAACUUACCGAGACGAGGGUGUACUUUAUCGCCCUCAUCCCCUUUCUCGUGUAACUACGUGAUACGUAUUACAUGAAUAAAUAUGAUUGGCAAUUGUACAUGGAUAUUACGUGCUUGAUUAUUAUUGGUGCAUGAAUAGUUGAAAUCUUGUGAGUUUGAUACGUGCUUACUUGAUAUCAAUGACUUGAAAUUUUUGAAAUGGAGUCGAGUGUGUACUUUACCGCACUCGUUCUCAUUUGAAAUAAAUGACUCGUGCUUGACCUAAAUUGAAUCGCUUGACCUGACUUGAACUACUUGACGUGACUUGAAUUGCUUGACCUGACGUGUCUUGAAUUGGAAAAUGUGCUAUGGAUGCAUAAGUCGAUUGGAGCGGUGUUUCAUCGACCUCUGAACAAUAGCAAGUACCACACCGAUUUGGUGGGAGGUACCUCUCCAAUCGUCUCAGACCUAAAAACUGAACGAUUGUAAGUACCACGCCGAUUUGGUAGGAGGUACCUCUCAAGUCAUCUCAGUACCCUAAACCUCUGAACGAUAGCAAGUACCACACCGAUUUGGUAGGAGGUACCUCUCGAAUCGUCUCAAACCUAUAAACUGAACAUUGUAAGUACCACACCGAUUUGGUGGGAGGUACCUCUCGAGUCGUCGUAGUACCCUAAAUCAUGCUAAGUCGAUUGGAGCGGUGUCUCAUCGACCUCUGAAUGAUAGCAAGUACUACACCGAUUUGGUGGGAGGUACCUCUCGAGUCGUCUCAGUACCCUAAAUCAUGCUAAGUCGAUUGGAGCGAUAUUUCAUCGACCACUGAACGAUUGUAAGUACCACGCCGAUUUGGUGGGAGGUACCUCUCGAGUCGUCUCAGUACCCUAAACUUCUAAACGAUAGUAAGUACCACACCGAUUCGGGUGGGAGGUACCUCUCGAGUCGUCUCAGAAACAUAAAUGGAAUACGUGAAGUGUUACGAUUUAAUUAUCUACCCAGGUGACGGGGUGUCGUUACAAGAAGGUAUUGAUUUGAACUCGGGCAAAGUAAUUGAAAAUUAGCUUUUGAGAGCUCUUGCCUCCUACUCAAGUGUGUUUAUUAUAAAUUGUGAAUUUAUUGAAUGUUAUAGUUUUCACUAUUGUAUAAGUGCUAUUGCUAUUGAAUUACUUGUCUUGCAUGUUUUCUUGGCCUCACGAGUAUCUGCUCACCCCGUUAGAUUUGUUUUCCCUUAACAGGAGCUGAAGUGGGAGGAAUUCUAGAGAAGCUUAAUUGAUGGUUCACUUGAUUAGAAUUGUGAAUGUAUUUGCUUAGAAUUUGAUUUUGGAAGCUGUAUAUUUUGGGAAUGUAAAGAAAUUGGGUAGAUUAUGAAGUAAGACUUGAACGUUUAUUGAGGAAUUGACCUUCCUUUAUCUCUUCGAUUUUAGUAUCGAUUGGUUAUUAUUGAGUGUAAAUUGAAUUAGUACCGAGUCCUGACGAGAGUUGGGCAGGCGUUCCGCCGAUACCCUUGGGUUUGCCCUUGGGAGAAGUGGGGGCGUCACAAAAUUUAUAUCAAGUCACGUAACAUGUAUUCAAAUUUAAAAUUUAAAUCAUGUACACGCGACGUACAUCUAUGACUACUAGUGUAAAAAAAUCACUACACUAUCGAUGUAUAAAAAGCUAAUCCAUAUAUAUAUAUAUAUAGACACAUACAUAUAUAAAUACAUAUAUGUGGCAUACAUACAUAUAAUAUGUGACAACCCCACCUCCCCCUAAGGUGAACCAAAGGGUUUGGCGGACCGUCUGCCCAACUCUCGCCGGGACUCAGUCGUUCACUUCAGUCCUCAAUUAAAAUCGGAAUAAAACCACAGGAAUAAAUAUAGCAACAAUCCAAAACUUAAAGCGAAACUUAUAUACAUUUCUAUCUCAAAAGAGAGGACAAAUAUCGAAUAUACAAAGGUUCUCAAUUCGUCAUACAUCCAACCCGUGCCAAGCACUAGAGCGAGAACCAUUACAAAAUUCAGAGAUCUAGACUAAGCUAGUCUACACAAAGCUCCCGUUCUGGCUCGCCUUCCCCUGUUAAGGAAAACAACUAAAGGGAUGAGUUAAAAGCUCAAUGAGGUUCCGAACACAUAAUCAAACAAUAAGUUCAAUGCAUUAACCAUAGAUAACCAAUAAUUCAAGAAACAUUUACAAUGGAAAGUGAUAAUAACACAUUCAAUAAAAGGAUACGUGCUCACAGGGAGCCAUUCAUUCAUUCGUUCAUUCAUUCCCUUAUUCCUCCAAUCAUUUGAAAAUGUAUUUUUGUAAGUAAAACCCCUCAUUUGCAUUGACAUUCGUUCAUUCAUUUCAUUCACCCCCUCCUAGACAUUGGCCAGGCUCCACUAGACUACAAGGUAAUACUCGAGUAUACCAAACAUUCACCCAGGGUCACCAUAUCGCCCGACCAAGUCCGCUUCUGGCUCGAGUCGAUCGGUAACGAAGGGCAGGGCCCAGUUCAGCCAAAAGGCUUACAUUCAUGCACAAGUAACGGUUCAAUCAUUCAAUCAUUGAAAAUUUCACAUUCGUUUAGGUCGAGUACGAUAAAGUACACACUCGCCUAAAAAACUCGUUUUGGCAAUCAUUAAGAGCACUUAACACAUUAUCAACAAUUACAACAAGCCAUGAAGUCAAGGAAAGUAUAACAAACAAGGAACACUCACCUAGUUAUGCAAAAUAACGUCCAAAAUAUCCUUCCGGAUUUUACUCUCAGUCACCGAUGAAACCUAAGAUUAAACGAGAAAUAGUAUUACAGUUUAUCGAGCAAAACAAUUAAGUGAAAUCGAAGAAACCCGAUUAAUUACGAGUAAAACGUAAAAAGAUGACUUUCAAGUGAAAAGAGGGUAUUUGGAUCUGUGGACAGGAAUAACGAGGGUUUCAUAAACCAGACGCAAAACUAAACUCAAAAGGGUUAUAAAAUUUCCAACGAAAAACACUGAACCAAAGACAAUCAGUAUCCAAAUAGAUAAGCUAAGGAAAUAUUCUUUCUGAACCGUUUAUGUGACUCAAAAUCAACUUAUAAUCAAGUAAACAUUAUAUACAAAUGUCGUGAUGAAAAUCACGUGAAGGAGGACAAAAUACCUUAAUUUCACAUUUAAAACCUCAUUUGAAAGUAGUUUUCUCGUAGCCGAGAAAACCCUAAUUCAUACCUCUUUAUUUUGGGAAGGAGUAAGUAAACAUUUGGAGUUUCAAAUUGAAGAGGUAUCAUGUUUUAAAAUGGUAAAACGGUCAUGAUAUUCACCAAGCGGAAAUAUAGGAGUUCAAAUAGAAAGUAGCUUCUCGACCACCCUUCGAGAGCACCACUAUAGUUUUAUAUGAAAUACGUCCAACUUGACACAAAACACAUUUCCAAAACCACUUUAACUCGCUCACAUUACAAGAAAAUAAACGGACGGCAUUUCCCCUUUAAAUUCUUCACUUUCACCCUACAAUCCAAAAACCAAUCUUACAAGAAUCAACCACAAUCGCACAUACGGUUCAUAAGCAAUAAAACACAUCCAAUUAGGCCACAAUAUCCCUCAAUCAAAGCGAAUUAGAAACUUAAAAGCCAACUAUAAGAAAACCCCCAAAUUAAACCCUAAAACCAGAAUUUAUCCCCACAAGCGGAAAUUUUCCGCAAACAAUCGCAAUUAACGCAUACAAGUUCCAUUUAACACCAUCUCAAUCCAUCAAUCCAAAGCCAAUCCAUGAUUAUCAUAUAAAAUCAGAAAAAUUCCCAAUAAAUCAGAAAUUGGACCAACUCCACUUAAAUUCACGAAACCAACCACAAAAUAGCAUCUUUAACCUUUACAAUCCACCGAUAUACCAUUAUUAAAACAAAAAAGAACUUUCUUAGUAACUCACCUUAUAACUCAAGAAAGGUAGGAACUUAAAGCUUCCCUUCCAAAAAUAACUCCACUAUCACCUUUAACCCUUCUUAGCUAGUCCUUGUACGGAGUAGUUUGAAAAUCCAAUGGUGAAAUCUCAAGAUUUGAGUGAAAAUUGAAACUAGAAAAUGAAGAGCUUCCUUGGUUUUUCUCUCAAGAUAGCCGGUCAAGCAAGGAGCAAAAAUGAAGAUAUUUUAGUAAGAAUGAAUAAAAAGCAGCCAGUCAAAAUUGACUGCCGGAGGUGACGUCACAAUCCCGCCGGAUUCCAGGCCGGAUUCAAGGCAGUGACGAAUCAAAAUUUUUUCAAAUCCCUCAAGCAAUCCGGCCAAGAACUGGCCGGAUUUGGUCCAAAACAUUUUCAAUAGAAAUUUUUCUUUCCAAGUUCACAUGCUGCGUUCGUCCGUACUUCCAACAAAGAUAUAUAUAUAAUCUCGUGCAAAUACACUUAAUAUACACAACCACACGCUCACAUUUCUAAUGAAAACCUUUCUUAGAAAACUUGGUUAGCAAAUUUUCAUUUUAAAAGGGAAGUGAGAAUAAACAAGAAAAAUGCGGAGAAUAUGUGAAAAUUUUAGGGUUCCCACAUAAUAUUUGUAUGCCACAUGUAUGUAUGUAUGUGUGUGUAGAUACACACACACAUGCAUAAGUUUGCACAUAUAUUUACAAAUACAUAUAUAUAUAUAUAUAUAUAUAUAUAUAUGUUGAAAAAAAUGCUCAAUUCUUUUGCAUAUUUUCAUGUCAUUAUAAACCCACAAAACCAAGUAAAGAGAGUUAAAAGACCAAGGAAUUGAAACUUAAGGCUUACCAAAUGCAUAUUGUAAAAAUGCUUAUGGAAAUUGAAUAUUAAAAAGGAUGACAAUUUAAAAUAUAAAUAUAGUGACUUGUUAUACAAAAAGUUGAUACUAAACCACUACAAUUUGACUAGCCUUCAGGUUGUAAAUACUCAGCAUCUCUAUAGAGAUAGAUGUGUUGCAUAUAUUUUUUGUAUAAUUAUGUUUUUUUUUUGUGAUAGAUUACUAGGUAUUUUGGCUGAUUUUGUACUAAAGUUUUUUGAUUGUGGAAAUGAGGUAAAAGUAUUGAAUUUGGAAGUUAAAUGUGCAUUUUUUCAAAUUUUAGAAAUAUGGCAUUGUUCAAGGGAUGAUCAGGACCAUUUGGACCAUGGGAUGAAGGGAAAGGAUCAAGAAGGAUGAAGAACUACACCCAAGUUAAGGAUACUAGAAGCUAGCUCCAUUCUAAUGAUGCAAACUAAUGAGGAUUCGACAUUGGAUCCAUGAUGUACUCUCUGAUAUUAUCUUUACCACUAUAUUUCAUUGAAAUCAGGUGUGUUAAAAGCAUACUUAUUCAGUCUUUUCGUUCUUGACAAAUCUUUUCUCAAUGUCUUGAAAGGACGCCUUAGUCGUAGUUGUCAUUUUUGACAUUGUUCCUUUGAAUGUUUCUGGAAUGACCUUUUCAAUGAUCAUCAAACACAAGUGAUUUGAUUUCUCCCACCUUUUCUUAUCCCUCUUUUCAUCAGAGGUACUCUGAUUUGUAAGAGGUGGAGGAGAAUUGCUCUUAACGCAAGGUCGAGAUCCAUUAUUCCAAAAACUAUCAAGAGAUUUUCUUUCUAAAACUUGAAAUUUUUGCCAUUUAGUAUAGGAAUAUUAUUGAUGUUGAUAGUAAUAUUUGUAAGAUCAUUCGUAACUGAAUAGAAAACAUGAAAUAAUUAAAACAAACUCACAUAGACCAAAAUAAUAAUAAAUUCAAAUAAAGGUAACCCCAUCUCAAGAUACCGAUGUUCCAUUAAUAUUUUAUUUUUGGAUAAAAAUAUUUACUUUGAAGUGAUAUCUUGGAGCAAUAAUAAACAUUGAUAAUAAUAAUAUGUCAAAAAAUAAAUUUUUCUUUGGGCCAAUUUAUAAUUCACAUGAAAAAAUUCGAAUAAUCAUUACAUGUUUAUUACUGCAAGUGCAUAUGUAAUUUUGUUAAAUAUUGACCUUCUUUUGAAUCGAUUAAUAUUCACAAAAUUACAAGUAUCCAACUAGUUAUAUUCUAAAACUAAUUUUCACAAAAGAUGUCACUUUGAUGACAUAUUGUUUCAAUUAAUUUAUUUCAAAAAAUAUAUAAUCAUACUAAUAUUCAAAUUUAAAAUUACACAAAAUACACAAAAAUUUUGAUCAAAGUCAAUUGUGAGCAACUCUGAUCAAAAUGUGGUUAAACUAGUCAAAUCUAGUCAAACCCAUCAAUUUUUGUCAAACGUGAUCAAACCAGUCAAACUAGUCAAAUCUGGUUAAACCAGUUAAUUCAAGUCAAAUAUGGUCAAAUUAGUCAAAUCUGGUCAAAUAGAUCAAGAACUAUUGGACUAAAAGUUUAUAUCCAUAAUUUAACCCAAAUUUAUCAUUCAACCCUAAAAUUUUCUUAAAGUUCAUAAAUGUCUUAUAAAACUUUAUAUUUAGUGGGCCAACCUUAUGGAUUUUUUUUAUAAGACUUAAAUGUCGUAUUUAACUUUGUUAGGGUUCAUUCAGACUAGAGAAACUCUAAUUUCCUUAAUAUAAAUAUAUGCAUAUUUAUUCUUGAGAAAGAAAAAAAAGGAUAAGCCAAAGUAUCCAACUAUUAAAACUUGUACCUUAACAUAUUAAGAGGUUACAUAUUACAUGGUCCUACCAUGACUUCCGAAAUACAAAGUCAUAUCAUGAAACAAUAGUGAACAUGAAAAUAAUGCUGUUAAUCGAAUAGGAUAGCUCACGAGCCGAGUGCUCGGCUUGAUAAGGGCUCGACUCGGUUCUUUUACUGAGAAAAACAAGCAGAGCUCGAGUUGUAUAUAUACUCGUCUAUUAAACGAGCCGACCUAUGCUCGACUUGCUAAUAACUCGACAGGCUCGAAUAGUAAGGGCAUUAGCGUCAUUUCAUUGUGUAUCUGAUAGCUUAACCCGAAUUCAUUCCCGUUCCUGGCCCUAAUUUUUCUUUCCUCUUUCCUUUUCCUGUUCCACAGUCGCAGUUGCACCUUCCCAGUUCUCACCACCAUCACCAAUCCAUCCACCACCUCACCUCCAUCACCAAUUUGUCCACCAUCUCACCGCCAUCACCAAUCCAUCCACCAUCUCACCACCAUCAUUCAAUCCGUGAGUCCGUGAGCACCGUUUAGGGACGCAUCUCCACUUCUCGUGAAUCCAUGAGCAAUUUGCCGUGAGUGCGCCACGGAGCCACGUCGGUAGAGCUAGGGGCUACUACCAUAUCACCAAUUGGCUACAUAAUCUGAUAACCGUUUCUUACCAUUGCAAUUUAUUUUUGGUUUUAAGAGGCUGUUUAGGUUUUGCUUAAUCUGGUACCAUUUCUCAUCUACUAUAUUUUAAUCUGCUGAGCUUUUGCGCUUUAAUGCACUGCUACCACCUUAUCUUACCUUUCAAUGGAUGGCUAUGUUUAAGCAAUAUUAUACUGCAAUUGAUUGUUAUGUUUGGUUGUGGACUGUUUGUCAUUGCGAAGGAAAUAUUCUGCUUAGAAUUUUGGGAUUAAUCUAGGGUCCUGUGACUUCUAGAAAAAUCCAAUACUAAACAAAUAGGGCUUAAAAACUUGGAGUACAAAAGCUCUCUUACUGUCAAUUUUUUUGUCUUUUUCAGUUUACAAUUUGCAAAUUCACAACUUUCAAUUUACAAACAUGGAAAUAUUUGCCACCUAUUAACCUAUAUGAACCUUGGUAACCAAAGAAUUCCAAUGGCCAGUCGUAAAGGACUAGGCUUAUAAUCAAAAGUUGGUCCAAACUCUUGAAUUGCCUUACUGAUGAAGACAAGGGAAAGGCUCCCGUUUUGUAGAUGCUUGUUUCAAGUGUCUGUACUCAUGAAAUUAAUUUUCAAUCCAUGCAUAAAUUACUUGCAAAUGCUUAUCAUAUAACUGAAACCUACUUGACUAAUGAAAACUCCCCUGGCCAUGUUACAUCACCAAUUGUAGAAAUCAGGAACUAUUCUGUUGCCUAUUAUGUAAUAAUACUUACAAGAUCAAGAGCUUAAUUCCUUGCCACAAAAUUUAAGGCUCUGAAAUUCCUGAAACAAAUGAUUCAAAGAUUACAGUACCUCUUUUUUUUUUAAAGAUGACAAUUGCUCACCAAAGGACAGGCAUCUGAAUCAUGCAAUAUACUAAUGGAAGCCAAAUGAAUUUGUGAACCAAACCUCACAUAUAAUUACGUCAUUGGAAAUAUUUUUUUUCUUUGCUUUGGGAAAUUUUGUUGUUUGCCUUGCUAUGUUAUUGAUUAAAUUAAUGAUUGUUUUACUGAUAAGGAGAAAAAAUUUCAGAAACCAAGUUGGAAAAGGUUUAGAUAGAUGUAGGGACAUGUUUGAUAGUUUUAAUCAUAGGUUAUAGAUGUUUCUCUGUUAUUUAAUUAAUCUGAAUUUAAGCUUGAGAUAGGAACAAGUUAAAGAAAUGUUAAAACUGGCUUGAAAGAAGAUUAUUUCUUGGAAUCUGUUUUGUUACUUUUGUACCUUAUUUCCUAGAAAUGUUAUUCUAAAUUUCUGUUUUGGCUAAUCAGAAGUUAUUGCAUGUGUUUUGAUUAAGGUAUGUACAACUCUCCAUUCAACUCAUUUCAAGGUUCAUCAUCAAGUCCUAUGAUGAAGCAAAAUAAUGAAGACGUGGAACAAUUGAACUACACCUAAGAAAGAGCUGAUGAGAUGAGUGAAGAAGAGAUAGAAAUAAUAGAAGGUAAGGCCAAUGAAGAAGGACAGAAAGUAGAUGGAGAUAAAAGAGCUGGUCCUUUCGAGAAAAAGCAAACGUAGAAGAAAUCCAGUAUAUGGGAUGAAAUGGCAACAGUUGUGCUAGAUAAUGGGACAAGCAAAGUGAAGUGCAACCAUUGCAAGGAAAUUUUUGCCAAGAGUGCAACCGGAGCUACAUCUCAGCACAAGAGGCACCUGAAUUCUUGCCUAUAGAGGAAGUUGGCCAUUGGGGAGCAAAGCAAAUAGAAGCAACAAGUGCUAUCAUUUAUUGAAGGUCAAAGUGAUGGUAUCACUUCUAUCACAAAUUUCUCGUAUGAUCAUGCCAAGGUAAGAGAGCUUGCAUCACACAUGAUUCUUACACAUGAGCACCCCUUUUCUAUGAUAGAUCAUUUAGUUUUCAACAAAUUCAUGAAAGUGACAUCUCCAUUUUAUAAAAAGAUUAAUCGGCAGACUGUUAAGAAAGACUGCAUUGGUACUAAUACAAUUGAAAAAAGGAAGCUGAAAUCAUUGUUGAAAGGUGCUGGUAGGAUUAGUAUUACCACAGAUUUGUGGAAAUCUGGUCAAAAAAUUCAAUAUAUGGUUGUGAUUGGUUAUUUUGUUGAUUCUGACUAGGUGCUACAAAAACGUGUGUUGAAUUUUUGCAAUGUUCCUCCUCCUCAUACUGGAGUUAUUGUAGCUAAUGCUCUAAGUAAGUGCUUUAUUGAUUAGGAGAUUGAGAAUAAGGUUUCUAACAUAACUGUAGAUAAUGCUUCGUAUAAUGAUGUGUGCAUUAGGAGACUUAGAGAGGAUUUUUCUCUAAGAAAGAGAUUAAGUAUUGGAGGAUAAAUUUUUCACGUUAGGUGUUGUGCACAUAUACUUAAUCUCUUAGUGCAAGAUGGUCUUGGUCAACUUGGUGAUGUGAUUGAUGUUGUUAGAGAGGGGAUAAAGUACUUGAACAAUUCUAAAUCUUGGCUUCUUGUAUUUGCCAAAAUUAAAAAAUAACUCCAGUCGCCCUCUAGAAAGCUAAUUUUGGACUGUCCAACAAGGUGGAAUAGCACCUAUUUGAUGUUGGUUUCGGGUUUAGAGUUCAAGGAUGUCUGUCUUUCCAAGAUAUGCAGACAUUGAUCUCGGAUUUCACUAUGUUCCAACUGAUUUUGAGUGGAUGAAAGUGGAAGAGGUGUGCAAAUUUCUAGGAAUAUUUCAUGAAAUCGCUAACAUGAUUUCCAGAUCCGAGUAUCCAACAGCUAACAUUUUUCUUGUGGAGAUCUAUAGGAUUAAAGAGCUUUUAAAUGAAAAAGCUCUUGACCCUUAUGAGCAUAUUUGGGCUAUGGCUGGAAGUAUAUCUGCUAAAUUUGAUAAGUGUUAGGGGGAAAGUAAUGUGCUGCUAUCUUUGGGUGCAAUUUUGGAUCUGAGAUACAAAAUGGCUCUUAUUAAUCAUGCUUUUCAAGUGAUAUAUGGUGAGGAAGUAGCUCCUAGAUUCGUGGCUGAGAUUAGAGACAUUUUUAUGAGCUUUACAAUGAAUAUGUUGGUUGUCACAUUAUUUCCCAUUCUGAACAACAACAGAGGCAGGUUGUAAAAAGGAAACAAAAUGAAGGUUCUAGUUCUUCUAAUCAGAAAGCUAGUAAAAUGACUGGACCCACUGUUUUAACUGGUAAAGGAAAGUUUCACAUGCAUGUGAGUGAAAUUGACAAGGCUCCACUAGAAAAAUCAGAUUUAGAUGUUUAUUUAGAAGAAGGUAGGUAUGCUUGUGAUGCAAAUGCGAAUCUGGAUGUUUUGGCUUGGUGGAAAGGGGAAAGAUUGAGAUUUCCUAUCUUGUCGAGAAUGGCUGCUGAUAUACUCUCCGUUCCUAUUACAACUGUGGUUUCAGAAUCUACCUUCAGCGUUGGAGGUAGAGUAAUUGAUGAUCGACGUGCUUUUAUGUCAGUUGAGACGGUGCAAAUGUUGCUUUGCGGAAAUGAUUGGAUCCGCAGUCUUCAUGGCCUAAAGAAUAAGUCUCGCGUAAGUAAUUGAUUGGAUGUUUUUCUUGUUGUUACAGUUUCAUUAGAUCUGAUUUUCAAGAACUUUAUAACUUUCAUACCUUUGUUUUGUAGGAAUCACUUGAUGCGGCCGAAUCAAUCACAUUUGAGGAAGUUGAACUUCUUGAGUCAUUCACAACCUGAUUUGGUGGCUGUUAAUGUUGAUUGGUGGCUGUUGAUGUUGAUUGGUGCAAGCUGAUUUCAUUCACAUGUUGAUUUCCCAAACUGAUUUCGUUCAAAAGCUGCAUCAUUCACAAGUUGUUUUCGCUCAAGAAAGUUGUUUUUAACUCUUGGACAAUUGAAGUUAAACAUGUUGGUCAACUUGGUCUAGAGUUUGGACAUUUUAGAAUCUAUUUAAAACUACUUGAUGGCUGAUGUUUAAUUGUUUGGACUACUUGAAUUGUGAACUGCUUGAUUUGUGAUUUCUGUAUCUAUUUCAACCGACAGAUUUAGUUGUGAAUUUGCCUGAAAAUUUUGUUAACAGAUUAGACAAUAAUGGUUGCUAAUGUCCAGGUAUUCGAGCUCGAGCUCACCGAGCUCGUUAAGCUUGGUUUGAUUUUGAACUUGGGUUCGAGCUCGAGUCUCGAGCGAUUUAAGCUUGGCUCGAUUUUGAACUCGAGUUUGAGUUUUCAUCCGAGUUUGGCGAGUUGAUUUCAAACAGCUUUUGAAUCUCGAAUUACUAAUCGAGCGAAAAUAAGCUAACUCGAUUGGAGGUUUGAGUCGAACUCAAUUAUUAUGUGCUCGAGCUCGACUCAACUCGAUUAACAGCUCUACAUGAAAGCGGAAAGCCGUAUUAUGACUUGUGCCAUUCAAGUUCUGUAUUCAUGUGAACUCGAGCUCGACUUAGCUCGAUUAACAGCUCUACAUGAAAGCGAAAAGCCGUAUUAUGACUUGUGCCAUUCAAGUUCUGUAUUCAUGUGAUACAACCAAAUUAAACAAUCAACUUGAUCCCAAAACACGUGCCAACUAACACUAGACCAUGCAAAAGUAUGGAAACACGAACGAAAUGGACGAAACCGAAUCACAAGCCGGAUACUUGUUGGCCGUUUCUUCAUCAACAUAAUACAUGAUUAUCCAAAAAAAAUUACCUAAAUUAUUUCCCUAAUAAUCAACCAUAUCUCACUCUGAUACCACUUGUUGGUGCUUGUUUAUAUUAAUUUUUAGUAAAAACUAUCAGCUAUUAAAGCCAGAGCACUUAUGGUGAUUAUCGAGAAAAAAACCAACAAUAAAAUGUGAAAGCGUACCUGGAUUCAUCUUGAUUAACUGGAACUUGAAUUCUUAGAGAUUUUGAGAUAGUCUUCCAGGUCAAUACGUAUUUGCUAAUCCCUUGAGAGAGCCCUUUAAUUUCUUUUUUGUAUCUUUCCUGACGAUGAGAUAUCAAGAAAUAGCUAUUUUGUGGUGCUAAAAAUACAAUAAUAAGAAAAUGUGUGACUCAGAGACCAUAAUCCUAUUUAUAGAUAACUUUCUUGUUAUCCUUUGAAUUCCUAUUUCAACCCAUCAUAGAAAUAAGGAUUACCCUCAAAUCCCCAACAUUAAAGACCCACAUCGUAUUAGAUAUAUUGAAACCAAACUACAAUUGAUCACUUUAAUUGGACUUAACCUUAUUUGACAAUCUAUAAUUAACCUUAUUUAACCUUAUUUGACAAUCUAUAAUUAACCUUAUUUAACCUUAUUUGACAAUCUAUAAGACAUAAUUAUUCACAUAUAAGUCCAACAUUAGAUUAAAAUCCAACAGCUUUCUCCACCCUUCACCUGGGGAGAAUCACUCACAGCAUAAAACUGGGGGAUGCUUUCUUAUAGUAGUUGGUAUCACUUUUGCAGUUAUGAGGUUUUAACAAUCAUCUUAUCCUUAGUUUUAUGAUUUAAUUACUCAUACUAUUAAUGACUGAAUUCUUAAAUUGCCUCAACAUAGAAUGUCAAAAAGCUUGUAGGUAUUUAGAUAAUAAGAAUCUCUUUUUCUGGAUAAUUGUCAUGUGUGUGCCUCGGAGUAGCAUAUUCGUUAUUUGAACCUAGGCUAUUUUCCUGGUAGUUUAGCAGGCAUUAUAUUUCUACUACUUUUCUUUGGGAUAACCAAGAAGAGAUAAAUUUUAUGAAUCUAAACAAAGAGGGGUUGUCAAGAAAAGUAUAUCAUCAAAGACUUCUUUUGGUGGAUUUGUUCUACCCAUAUUUGAGAUACAAAACUACCCAACCAAACUUGUUAAAACUGAUUAAUUGUAUGAGAAAUCAGAAAUGAUGUCUUUAAACGUGGUAUCCAUUUCAAGUCAUUAUAUUUGUGAGGUUAUCACCCAAAUCUCAAUUUAAGAAUUUCACAAUCAGGUCUGUUCUGGUAUUGAACUGAUAUGCAAGUACUUCAAGUGGAUAUUAAGUGCGGUAAUUGAUCAUUGGCAGAAGGAUUUCUAGGUUCUUUUUGGAUGAAAUAUGAUUUUUUUCCUAUGAAAAGAUCUGCUGUUGUUGACGUAAUAUAUCUUGUUACUUGUUGCUAACAAGUAAAAGUAGUGGUAUACUGAUGUUGGGCUGUAGUAGUUAAAUGCACUGAGAUUUUAAAUUUGUUAAGUUCAGUUAUUAUUUCAGUUUACAACUCUGGAGUAUGAAUGCUAUUCUAUUUCUGCUACUCCUGUUAUUUUAAGUGUACAUCUCUAUUAGACCAAAUUGGAUAAGACUACGGUCAAAUGCUAUCUUGGGUUCAUUUGGUCAUCAGUUAUGAUAGCUUCAACCACUUUUCAAGCUGGUGAACCUAUCAUCAAUGUUAACCCCACUGAUAUUAGGACUUGUCAAUGUUUCCUAGUGGAAGAUGAUGAUUUGAACUACUAUGGAUGUCUGCAAGAAUCCGUUUCCCUUGACACUGGGAGCCACCGCAAGGUGUCAACAGAUGAUUAUGCGUAUUUUGUAUCCUUUAUUUUUUGGUUCGUGGUUGAAAUCACUUUAUGCUUCAAAAAAUGCCUAUGAUCUGCAGUAUAUCAAAGCGUAUUGAUCCAUAGAGGGAAGGUCUGUGCAUAGAUUUGUCGCCAUUCUUUGAACUCGUAUGCUAGGCAAUGUUUUUAAACUCGGACCGGCCAGUGAACCGGAAAAGGGACCGGUUAGUGGUUCGAUCGGUCCGACCGGUUCACCGGUUCACUGCUUUUCUUUUCUUUUUUUGGGAAUGCAACUUCAGUGCUAAAACUAAAUUUAAAAGCAUAGUUAUUGAUGCUCCAACAUAGUUAUUGAUAACUUAAGUUCUUAAAAUGCAAUCACUAAAAUAACUUAAAACUAAAUUUAAGUUGAGAUAAUAAUAAAAUUCUUAAAAUUUAUACAUGAAAUGGAAUGAUAAACAUAACCAAAAUACAAUUACCGCAAGUUUUCUUUCUACUUUUCCUAUAAAUAAUGUACUAAAAAAACUCGAUGAAAAUUGGACAUGAAAUAGAGCAUAAUCGGUUUAUGAAAUAUUUGCCAUAUUCAAUUUAUAUUUUUUCUAUUUAUAUUUUGUCUUUAUUUCUAUUUGCAACAAUAUUUCUGGGAGCAUUUCUUACCCAAUCUUUGUAUCUUAUGCAUUCAUUUAUUUAAAUUUCUCUUCAACAUCAGUCCAAGAAAAAAAACCAAGUUGGACUGUCUGCAAUUUGCAUCAGUUAAAAAAACAAAAAAAAAAAAACAACCCACGGGACUGUCUUUUUCCUUGUAUUCCCCCAACAAAGCAAGAAGGAUACAAACUAAAAUAUAAAAAAAAGAACUAAUGGAAGAAAACAAUAAUAGUUAUAAAAUGAAAUUGCCCAUAGCAUAGGUGUCUUUAUUAUAUUUUAUUUUGCUAAAUUCAGAAUCAAUUUGCUAAAUUCAAAAUGAACCAAAAAAUAGAAAAAAGGGAAUUACGUGCAACAAAUUUUAGCCCAAUUAAAACAAAGAACAACCAUAAAUUAUCCAAAAAUCAAAGAUAUAUGUAGUUUAGUAUUGCAUUUGAGUGUAUCUUUACAGGACAAAAAAUAGACAAAAAAAGGACAAAUUCAUGUAAAAAAAUAAAAUAAAAAAAGAAAAAGUUGGAUUAGUGCUUAUUUGGAUUUCCUUCAAAAUUUACCUGCGAAUAUCAACUCUGCAACUGAGCUAAAGAAAUCAUGCAAAAAUAGUACAAACAAGAUCAAUAUUCAAUUCACGGCUGGAAUGCCAAAAUGAGAAGAGGAAAAAGAAACAGAGCAGAGGAGAAUGACUGAAUGAGCUGCCGACACCAAGGAAUUGAAGCCAACAAAGAAAUAAAGAGGCUGACGUGUUUUAGACUUUUAGUGCUAGGGUAUUUCAGUUUUUUACUUAAUAAGUUAAGUAGAUGUCCACAAAUAACAAGCUUGUCUAUGGCUUAAUGGUAAAGAACCCUCCUUGCAAUCCUAAGGACCCAUGUUCGAUUCUUAAUAGCCACAAUUUUGAAAUUGCUUUUGCAAUGUUCACAAAAGUUUCAAAAACCGCCGGUUUACGGUUUAAGCGGUUUUUCACGGUUCGUCCGGGUCAACCGGUUUCUAAUAGUUUUUCAUUAAUCUCCGACUUUAACUCCAGAUCGGACCGGUGGCAUGUCCGGUUCGCGGUCCAAUCGGUUGAACCGGCCAGUCCGGUCCGAUUCUGAAAACAUUGAUGCUAGUAGGGCUGUCAACGGGCCGGGUCCGGGCCGGAAUUCAUUAUUCCGGACCCGGACCCGAAUUACUAUACCGGACCCGGAUCCGACCCGUUUACCCGACGGGUCUUUUAUUAUAUGUUCCGGAUCCGGCGGGUCCCGGAUCCGGGUCCGGUCUACCCGAACAAAUUUAGCAAAAUUUAUAAUUUCUAAUAAAAAUGAGAAAAAAAUAUAUUUGUAAACUAAUUUCUAACUAAUGCAAAGAAAAAACCAAAUAAAAAAAGAAAUCAAAUUGACUUUAUUCAAAUACAUCACCCUAAUCAAAUUAUAUUGAUAAAUAUAUAUUUUUUAAAUUAUUAAUUCAUUUAUAUCCGGAUCCGGGUCUAAUACGGGUCGGAAUACUAUAUUCCGUAUCCGACCCGUUUUUUUGUUUGACAAAACUGAUCCGGAUCCGGAUCCGGGAAACGGAAUUAAAUCCCUACCCAUACCCGAAAUAAUUUCACGGAUCCGGUCAGAAUCCGGGUCUAGACCCGACCCGUUGACAGGCCUAGAUGCUAGGUAGUAUUUAAUCAUUUAUUUAUGACAGGUAGUAUUAGCUUGUACAUGUGUAUUUUUCAUGAACAAAUACGAUCCUACUUCUUUCUGCCUUUUCUGCUGUCAUAGCUUGCCAUACUUUUAUGCACUCUAAUAGUUAGUUAUGUUACUAAGACAUAUUGUUAAAUGGAAAUUCCCUUUGAUGACUUAGAUCUAUUCUUCUAUCAAACACAAUAAACUAAGUAUACAAGAACUUUGGUGGAACUAUAAUCUCCAAAACCAUAAUAAUUUUUCUUCAUGGGGUUAAUUAGUGAGAUUAUAGAACUUUAGGGGUUUAUGUGAUUAAGUUAGAAGUUGGGGGAUUAAUUAACAAUAUGAGCAAGUUUGUAUUGGAAGAAUUGAGUUAGACUCUUUCAAACCCUUCUCACUUUCUCUCUCUAAAAUCUCCCUAUAUUCCCUUUUUUAAUUAAGGUGGAAAUCCUGCAAAUCAAAGAUUUGGAACAAGUGAGAUGCUUGGAGAUCCAUUGAUAAUCUCUAUUCAAGGUAUGUACCAAGUUUAAUUGUUACUUUAUGGGUGAAUUUGGUGGGACUAUGUUAACCAAUAAGAAUUUUGGAAGGAAAUGAUCUCUUGAUCAUGACGUGUUUAGAUUAUUUGGUUGGCUACUUGUUUAAACUUAUUUUAUUGCACUUGACUGGUAGUUAAACUUUUGAUAAAAAGUGACUAGUAGUUGAAAUUGAAGUCCCAAAGCUUACAUUUGGCUUAGAGCCAGUCCGGUUUGCUUAUUUCGAUUCCCAUUUUCUUAGUUUCUCUAGUUUUCACUCAUGAAUCAUUUUGUUUGGUCUUGUUAGUGCGAGAAUUAGUACUAAUUCAUAUAUUGAUAGUUUACUCAAUUUUUUUUAAGAGUUAGAGAUUUAACUUGGCUCUCGCUUUAUAGGCAGGAGAGCAUGUAUCAUGAGAAUUUACUUGAGUUAAGCUGAGUAUUGGUUCGUUUGGCUAAUGUAAGUGGUUUCAAUACUCUCUAUACUUCUAACUCAAAUUUAAUAAAUAAAAAUAGCUUUAAUUGCUUAUCUUAUUAUGAAAUUUGGCAUGAACAGUGAUACAUUUCAUGUAUGAUGUAUGAAUGAUUAUGAUUAUGAUAAUGAGGAUGAAAUGUUUAUAAUGAAUUGUCACGAAUCGGGUCAAAGAGUUGGCUCGAGUAAUUUUUGGACCAAAAUUCACUGGCCCAAAAUGCUUAGCCCAAAUCACAAAAUAGUGUAUGAAGCCAAGUUCUUAAGCCAUUCAUCCUUUGUAUUCUUUGAAUAUGGGAUAUUAUAUUCUCCCCACAUUAGGACUUUACAUCCUCACAAAACCCGACAAAAUACAGACUAUCCAUUUGGUCAUGUUCAGAUUCUAGAGAUGGCACUCGCUCGAUGUGGCACUGAGUCCCGUAGGCUCUAUAGGUAGCCUCCAUCGAACAUGACACUUAGCCCACAGAACAUUUGGCUCCUUACACUUCUUUGUAUAGUCGGAACCAUAACCUGCUGACCUAAACUCACCUUGCGCAGAGACCACGCAAGAUUCGCUCUAAUACCAAUUGUCAUGACUCGGAUCCAAGGGUUGGUCCAAAUAAUUUUUGAACCGAAAUCCACUGGCCCAAAAUGGUUAACCAAAAUUACAAAGUUGCCCAUAGGUCCAAGUUCUUAAACUAUUCCAUUCCUUUGCAUUCUUUCGAUGUGGGAUAUCACAUUAAUGCUAUGUUUGGUUUGCACUUUGAGCUCGUUAUUUCUUGGUUAUUGUCAAUGGAACUAGUUCCUUAAUUUUGUCUAUCUGGCCUACAUAGUGGAACAAAUAGUUAGGAAAUUUAUGUCUGACCUACCUAGUGGGACAAAUAGUUAGGUUAGGAACCUUCUAUCUAACCUAUUUGACAGGACAAAUAGUCAGGACUGGAUAUCCGAUUAAUGAUAAAUACUAAGAAUUCAUGAGCUUAUUCGUGAUUUAAUAGCUAAUUAUUUAAUGUGAUUCAAUUAUAUAUUCUAAUGACUUAUGUAUUUUGAAAUGUAUUAUGUACCAACCUAUUCAUGCCAAUAGAUGAAUACCUGAACUACUUAUUGGCCAAAUGUUUGUUCACCCUAUUUGUUGUAUUUUCGAAGGGUGAUGCAUUCUACGAGGAAGAUUAUGAUACAGUUUAGGUUUAGUAGAGAAGGAAUAAGACUUAUUUUGUUAUAGCCUUAUUAUGGUUGUAUAUUGGACUUUGUUUAUUUUAUUAGAUAAGUAAAUUUGGCAACGAAUGGUGGUAAAUUAUAACACAAGUUGAAUUUGGGAAUAGUUUUGGCAUUGUCAUUAGAAUAUGAUUGUAAAUAGUAUGAAUGGUUGAGAAGAUAUUUUGCAAAGUAUUAGUUAUAUAAAUUAUGAUGCCUUGUGUCUUGUAGUCUUAUUAUGAGAUACGGCGGUAUUAUAUCCCAAUUUUGGGGCUUGGCAUUUUAGUGAUAUUAGAGAUUAAGGUUCGAUUAUAUUUGUAAUGUAAGAAUGAACAAGGAUUGUAUUUUCUUGGGACUUAGAUUGUAUGUUGGACAAAAAUUGGAAUGUAGUAACUUUGCACUUAGGGGUGGCCAACCUUCAUGUAAAUUGAUCUAUUUUCAAUUUUGGUGUCUAAAUACCACUUUGAUGUUAUGAUUAAAGUUUGGGGAAGACUAACUUGCUCUUGCUAGUUAUUGUUAUUUAUGAUUUUCUAUUUACAGCGUAUGCCACCAAAGUGGAGACAAAAAGCAAUUGCUGCCAUUCGUGAUGAUGGUGAAGAAUUUAAUGAAAAUGAUGUAAUAUUGGAAGAUCUUGGAACUAAAGGGAAUGAAGAUCUAGGCGGGUUUAUGUCGGAUGCUAGAUGGACAUCUUAAAGGAGGAGGACCGAGGGAACCUCUCAAGGGACUUGUGAAGGCAAUGCUAGUGCUAUGGCUCAAAUGCUUAGUUGUGACGCGCCCCCAUUUCUCCCUAAGGCGAACCAAAGGGUAUCCGCGGGACGCCUGCCCAACUCUUGCUAGGACUCGGUACAAUCCACAAUUCAAGACUAGGAAUACUUCAAAUAACUUCAAUACAUAACUAAAGUACUCCAAAAUAUCUCACACUUACAAUUAUGUAGCUUUCAAGCUUAAAUACAACCCAACGGAAAAGGGUACAAUAGCCAUCCGUUAUAAUAUAAUUUAAAGUCUUCAAAAGAAAACAAUCUAGUACUACUCACGAGCACCCUUGGUCUCGAACCCUGUAAAAGAAAACCACAACGUGGGAUGAGCUACACAGUUCAGUGAGGUUCCAAGACACUCUAACAGUUCAAAUAAAUCAAGUAAGUUGGGCAUAUCAUAUGCAUGGUUCAAGGUUACACAAUGGCAUGUUAUCAUGAGGAGAUAAUCAUUAUACGGGUAAUUUGAGACAUUCAUCAUGAGACAGUUAUCAUGGUUCAAGACAUUGGCAUGUAUAGUUCACGAGUGAUUGGAGCUUAUUACAUGUGCGAGUAAUUAAGCAUGUUACAGGUAUGGAGCAUUAACAUGAAACAGGUAUCAUGAUAUGAGUACAUUGGACAGGUAACAGGUAUGGAGCAUAUCAUAGGCAUGGCUCAGGAUUUCAUGUUGACAUUUUAGCAUGAAACAAUUAUCAUGAUACAAGAUAAACAUAUACUGUAGGAUACGGUGUUCCGGUGGAACUCUGUCGGUCAUCUGCACCUUAUGACUUCCGGAUCCCCUCGGUUUGACUGGCCAUCACCUUAUCCCUCCAGUGGUAAUACUCGAGUAUACCGAAACGGUGGCCCAGGGUUCCAACCUACUCGAUCGAGCCCAAUCCUGGCUUGAGUAGGUCAGUAACCAAGGGCAGGGCCCAAGUUCAGCUUAGAGCUUACAACAUGCACAGGUAACCAAGUAAUUCGACAAAAGGUAAAAUUCAUCAUUUGAGUAGGUCGAGUGAGGUAAAGUACACACUCGCCUAACAAUGAUGGACAGCUUCAUAUAACAUGUGAUUCAUGAUAAUCAAGUAAUCAAGUGGAUACUUAGCACAUAAGCACGUAAGCAAUACAAGUUGAUUUCAUGGGAGCAUGUAAUUCGCGGAUAUCGAAUAGUCAUGUAGAUUGGAAAUCAUGUGAGCAAAUAGUCAAGUAAUCAGAUAGUCAUGUGGGUUGGUAAACGGUUCGCGGUUAACGGUUAACGGUUGAGUAGUGACGGUUAUUUGACAGGCAUUUGCCAUAUUGAUAGGCCAUUAUUGGCCGUUAUCCCAUUUUUACCAUGUGAGAGUCGAGGAGAUUCACUCCAACGACGUAUGCAACCAUAACAUACCAAGUCAUGUUAUUCGAGCAUUUCCAAGCAUGAGUUAUUCAUCUCAAAAGAGAACGAGUGCGAUAAACUACACACUCGACCCCAUUUUUCAAAACCAAGUAGGCUAAACAAGCAAUCUAGCAAGUUAAGCAUGAAUCGAGUUCAUAUGGUCCUUUGAUAUGGUUAAUCAUUUAACCAAUUCAUGUCGAUAUGCAAUGCAAGUAUACAUUAUUUAUAUAGGCAUGAGUAUGGUAAAUAUUUAACACAUAGUACCUAACACUUAAUAAUCAUGAAAUGAGCAUGUCCUAGACUUAUUCAAUUAAGUAUUCCUAUAUGGAGCACUCACCUAAUCCAAAAUAAGCGAGUGGUUCUCAACAAGCGUUUAGGCGUCCGCUCCGAGUUCCUCUUGGAGAUCUCCUCGAGUGCCUGAGCAAACAAUAAUCAAUUACCACUCAAUAUCACUACGAAUCUCUAAUUAUCGAGGAAGAUUGUACGCUAGUGCAAUCUAAGGAAAUCUUAUGAAAAUGAACCUCAAUUACUCGUAAAUCGAGAUUCAAGUGGAGUUUCUUAAAGUACAUGAGCAAUCGAGUUUUCAUUUUGGAAAUCAAGUAUAAAAUGUUCAAGUAAUAGCGAAGGAAUGAGGAGUACUUGAAAACUCCCUUCCCUUGGAAUUCGGAAAAUUUUCAGGUUUGAUACGAUACUUUGAAAAAUUGUAUCUCACAUUCUACAUGUUAAAAAUUGGAAAACUUAGUACCAUUGGAAACCUCUUUGAAAGUACUAAAAGUUCUUAGAAGACACUUUUACAUGAUUCUGAAUGAAAGAUAGUCAAAAGUGGGCUCAAAGUUACUGUCUCGGAGUACUUUAGGUUGUGUCGGGGUUGGUUUUUCGCUAACUUUGGAAAUUCGGAAAAAUUCACACAUUGCGAACCAGCCUCUGAAAUUUGUAAAUCAAUUAGAGUUGCAAGUAAGGUUUAGAACAGAACAAGCAGAUCAAGAAUCGGAGUUUCGAGCACCGAGAUACGGUAGCUCAAAGUUGGGGAAAAUUCGAAACUGUUGAACAAAUUUUCAGAUUUGAGUUUCCGACUUUGGGACUUUAGUUAGGUAUCGAAACGGACUUGGAUGGGUACAAACUUUGGCAAUACAACACUCCUAUAUAAAGGGUAUCCCUCUACCAAAUUUCAUGGAAAAAUACCUUCGGGAAGGUAGUCAACUAACCAACUAAAGUUUCAAAAAAUUCCUAAGGCAAAGCUGCCUUAAGCUUUUCGUUCUUCAUUUCCAAACAUUUGGCCCAGAAAAUCCUUCAAACUUGGUUCAUUUGUGUAGGCAAAGCCUAAGAAACAUUUAUGGUACAUUUGGUAAGUGUUUAACUCCAAGAAAUUCAAUUGACAAGUUCACACCAAACUUAGUAUCAAAUCUGCCCAGAAUUUAGGGUUUUCAAGAACAGGGCAGGUUUCGUAUUUUGAUCACAAAUCACUCAAUUCAACUCAGAAUUGAGAAUGGUUGGUGGCGUUGGAAAACACAUUCAUAAAGAUUUAAUUUCUCAGAAGAAAUUGUUUUGAAAUUCAGCACACAACUAGCUCAAAUUCGAGCCUCAAGUUGCAGCUUCUGAACUUCGUUCCAGGAAAACAGAGAAACAGGACAGUCAUCUUUAAAUGGUUGGUACGGGCUGCUCGGGUGGAAUCUGGGAUUGCAUUUUAUACCAUUGGGAAUCUGGGAAUGUCUAGUUUCAAAUGCCACUGACGGCACUCGAUUUCUACAUCGGAGUACAGAGUUAUGAAUGAAACAAGCAAGCUGUCUGAGCAUUACGGGAACAGUUCCUAGGCUCACCAGCUUCACGAAAAUAAUUCAUUUGACCAACCAAAUCUCAAUAUUUCUCAAUGAAAUUUUAUACACCAUCUAUACAACAUAUAAACAUCAUAUACAAGCCAUUAAACCCUCAAAAUUCUGCAGAAAAGGGUAAAAUCAAAGCAGGGACAAAAUUAGAACUUUUUACUCCAUGCACUCCUUGAAGUUUCUACUAGUUAUACACCAUUAAUCUACCAUUUUGAGCACUAAACCAACAUUAAAUCCAUCAUCAAGCAUGAGAUCAGUCCCCAAGACAAAGGUGGGAGUUCAUAGAGCCCACCCAUUUCAUUUUACACCAUAAACAAGCUAACCAAUGGCAUAAAUGAACUUAACUAGGUAAGAUAACCUCCAAAUGACAAGUUUCUAAGGUUGGAUCAUCACUCACUUGGUUGGAGGUUCAAGAGCAGAAUUUCGGUCACUCUUUGCUCCAGAAAACCAUGGCUUUUCAGCUCCCUUUUGCAGCUCAAAAUACUCUUCAAGUGUUAAGCUAAGUGUGGUGAAAUUUUGGUAGGAUUUGAGUGAAGAUUUGGUGAGGUUUUGUGAAGUAAAAAUUGAGAGAGCAAUGGUGGUUUGAGAGAGAGGGAUGGCCGGCUGAAAUGGUGAGUGGAGGGAGAAGAGAGUGAUCAGAAUUUAGCUUCCAAGAGAAGCUUCAAGUGUGUGGCCCAUUUGUGCAAAAGUCAACUCUACUACCACGCGCACUCGCGCGCGUUUCGUGCUCGAUUCCUCUCGCAUUUGUUUCACUAGUGCACUAAACCUCUAAUGCACUUAUAUUCAUAUAAAUAUUAUUUACUCUCAAUUGUCCCAAAAUAAGGGUCUAACGUUCCUCAAUUUAAAUCGCGCGUGUGAAAACGCGUAUCUCCAAUUUAAGCGCGAUAACGCGAAACUUUCGAGAAAUUCUUAUAACGACAGUACUAAUAACUAUCACUUGAGUAUUUAAACAUUAAAAUAUCUAAUUUAGGUCCAUUGCACAAAUCUCCAAUAUUCCAAACUUAUUGUACUCUCAAUCGGUCAAGAUUUCCAAAGACGUGUUCACUAUUUUCUCUAAACGAGCUUCCGGAAAUUAAUUUUUGAAACAAAUCACUUUAAAAAAUAUAAUGGAGUUAUAAUUCCAUGUAAUUAGGGUUAAUAGGGCUAGAAAAUAAUAUUCGGAGAAAUCGGGUGAGUAAAUACUUAUUUGAGCCAGUAAAAUAAAUAAAAUAAGCAAAAUUUUCGGGUCCUCACAGCUUAGUCAUGUAGAUCCUAGUGUCUUUGCCAUGGCUUUCCAAUUUGUUCAAGGUUUUCAACUACAACAGCAGCAACAACAAGGGCAGCAAAAAGAAGAUAAGAAUCUUAAACAUCAUUUUACUGAUCUUAGUAAAGUGAAUCUUCCCACCUUUGAUGGAACUACGGACCCUAAUUUAGUGGAGCAAUGGCUGUCUAACGUUGAGAAGAAAUUUAAAACAAUGCAAGUUUCUGAAGACAUCAAACCACAAGUUGUGACCUCGUUCCUAGUUGGAGAAGCUGAAAAAUGGUGGAAUGGAAUGGCCCUUAUUUGUAAUACACCCAAGCAUCCCUUGACAUGGUCUAAGUUCAAGGAAGUGUUCUUGAAAAAUUAUUUCCCUCCGGCAAUUUGGAUUCAUAAAAUCCAAGAGUUCAAUAAUUUUAAGCAAAACCAAACAUGUUCAUGUUAGAGUGUUACUCUGAGUUCAAAGCUUUGGGUUGAUUUGUUCCUUCCACCAUGGCCAAGAUAUGCAAAUGUUGGAUGAAGAAUUUAGGGUGCGAAGAGGUAGACAACCACCAAUGUCAAAUCCAUUGACAAGACAAGAAAGUACAUCUCACCAAGCUCCUCCAAGGCGUGGACCUCCACCUAGUCCUGUGGAUGGUCAAGCUAAAGUAUGUGAGCAUUGCAGCCAAGCUUACCCGAGUGAGUACCAAUGAAGAACUGGGGUAUGUUUCCGAUGUGGUCAGAUUAGGAAUAAGAUAAACGCAUGUCAUCUACCUAAGGAAGCUUCAACUUCAACUUCAAUAGCUACACUAGGAGGUAGUACUAAUAGUGCUAACAAGUUGAAUGCGAACUCUAAAGUCUAUGUAACGACUAAUCAGGAGGUGGAAGGACGUAGUGAUGUGACGAGAGGUUUGGUGACUAUAAAUUCCAUUCAUGCCUAUGUUAUAUUUGAUUGUGGUGCUUGCCAUUCAUUUAUUUCUAUGAAAUUUGCACGAAUGUUGGAUGCUAAUUCUACUCAUUUGGAUGACCCAUAGCUAUUUGGAUUAAGAGACUGCCUAUGUACAUAUUCUAACUUGGAAAGGGCAUGAGUAUCCUUAUAAUUUACUUGUAUAUUAAGUACAACUUGUCAAUUCAUGACAUUUUUUUAUCUUUUCAAAUUUUUUAUAGUUUCAAAAAAAAUUAUUGAAAAGUUUAACCUACUUACUGAAGUUCAUUUUUCAAAUUGGCUCUAGAUUUUAUGACACCCAAUUUAAAUAGUCUGGUAGAUAUCCUUCGUAGUAUAGUGUACUUCUAUACUUAUAGAAUGUACUCAUUCAUAUUUUUAAGAAUUGAAAAUCAGAACUACCAUAAAUCUCACUAUCAUUUUUGUACAUCUUUUCACUAAUAAAGUACACUACAGAUAUUAAUUUUAUUAUUUGAAGAUAUAGACUAUAAAUAUCGAUAUGUAGACCAACAUCCUAAUAAAGGCAUAAGAGUUCUUAAUCUAGUGGUUAAGGUUGAAAUUUCAGAAUUUAGAUAUCUUAGAUUCAAAUCCCCUUUGCCUUUUUUCCACCUCUUAAAUCCCACACCUCUUCUGCUUUUUUCUUUUAAAUCACACUAAAAGAAUUGUUUAAGUAUGCAUUCUGCAUUGGUUUGAAUUACAAGAUUGUCUAUAUACAUUUGCCAUUUGAAAUGGGCAUAAAAAUCCUAUGAUUUACUUGUAUAUUAUGAAAUUCAAAUCAUAAUAUUUUAUCUUUUUUAAAUUUUUAUGGUUUCAAAAAUAAUUAUUGGAAGGCCUACCUUAAUUAAUGAAUUUUACUUUUUCAAAUCGACCCUAAAUUUUAGGAAAAAUCUGGUAUACAUCAUCCAUAACAGGGCUGUACCUUUAUAUUUAAAUAGAAUGUACUCAUCAUACUUGACCACAUUUAGAACCAGAAGUAUGUAUAUUGUACACCUUAUCGGUUUUGAAGUAUACCAUUUUAUUUAUAAUUUACCUUAUUUAAUGAAUUUCAUUUCUUCAAAUUGGCUCCAAAUUUCAGGACAUCCAAUUAAAAUAGAAUGGUGUAUAUCAUCCAUAAAUUGGUACACUUCUAUACUUACAUAAUGCACUCAUCCAUAUUUCUAGCCAUUGGAUAUAACAACUUCCAUGAACCUAACAAUCAUUUUUCUAUUGAAAUACACAUUUUCACUAAUAAAGUAUGCCUUGAUUGCGCAUAUCAUUUUCUUAAUUCCUAAUAUAUACUGAAAUUUUGAACUAUGACCUAACAUCCUAAUAAAAUGUAUGCUUAAGUAUGCACUAUUUGCCCAUUUAGAUUAAGAGAUUGUUUAUGUAUAUACAUUUACUAGGAAUUAGCAUAAAUAUCAUUAUUAUUACUUAUAUAUUUAUUACGCCUUGUCAAAUCAUGAUGUCUUAACUUUCAAAAUAUUUAUAAUUCUAUAAAAAUUAUAAUAAAAUUUACCUUACUUAGUACAUUUCACUUCUUCAAUUGGCUCCAAAUUUAAUACCACGCCAAUAAAAUAGUUUAGUGUAUGUCAUCUACAACAAGGUGUACUUCUAUACCUGUAGAAUGUACUCAUCCAUGCGUCCAGCCAUUGGAUAUAGCAAAUACCACAAGCCUCAAAUAUUAUUGGGUUAAUCACAUUUAAUCCCCUUAAGGUAUACCCUAUUUUUCAGUUUACCCCGUAACCUUUAAUUUUGCUCACUUAACUCCCUACAGGACAAAAUUGCCCUUGCAUUAUUUUGACUUUUCAUUUAUCUUGUUUUCCUUUCUUUUAUUUCUUUUUCUCUUUCUUCUUUAUUUAAUUCUUCCUCUUUCCCACAAAAAUCUUCACCUUAAUGAUUGAAAUUAAAAAAGAGGAAUUACAGAGAUCUAUCUUCUCCUUAAAUGAUUAAAAAAAUAUUCAAAUCACUUUCCUAAUAUACGAUUUUUUUAGCCUUUCAAUUCUUUUAAUUUUGGGUUUUCCUCUUUCCUUUCUAGUUUCUCAUUUUAUUCCCAAGAAAAAAUCUUAAGAUGAAAUUGUGACCUGAUUAAUAAUCAUCAAUUGAAAUUUGUGACACGUGGCAUCAUACAAAAAAUCAAAAUUAGUUUUUGAUGCCUUUUAAACCUUCACCCAGAAAUAUGCAAUUACAAACUCAAAACAAAAAUUUUAGUUGAAAUGGAAUUUUCUAUUGGGAAGGAUGAAAGAGAGAAGAAAGAGAAAAAGGAAUAAAGAAAGGAAAACAAUUUCAUCUUAUGAUAUUUUCUUGAGAAUAAAAUGAGAAACUAGAAAGGAAAGAGGAAAACCCAAAAUUAAAAGAAUUGAAAGGCUAAAAAAUUAUAUUUUAGGAAAGUGAUUCGAAUAUUUUUUUUAAUCAUUUAAGGAGAAAAUAGAUCUUUGCAAUUCUUCUUUUUUAAUUUCAAUCAUUAAGGUGAAGAUUUUUGUGGGAAAGAGGAAGAAUUAAAUAAAGUAGAAAGAGAAAAAGAAAUAAAAGAAAGGAAAACAAGGUAAAUAAAAAGUCAAAAUAAUGCAAGGGCAAUUUUGUCCUAUAGGGGGUUAAGUGACCAAAAUUAAAGGUUAGGGGGUAAACUGAGAAAUGGGGUAUACCUUAAGGAGAUUAAAUGUGAUUAACCCAAUAUUAUUUUUCUAUUGUAAUGUGCACAAUGUAAUCGUGCAUUAACAAUAGGGUUAAUCACAUUUUAUCCCCUUAAAGAAUAUCCCAUUUCUCAGUUUACCCCCUAACAUUUAAUUUUGCUCACUUAACCUCCUUUAGGACAAAAUUGCCCUUGCAUUAUUUUGACUUUUCAUUUACCUUGUUUUCCUUUUUUUUAUUUCUUUUUCUCUUUUUUCUUUAUUUAAUUCUUUCUCUUUCCCACAAAAAUUUUCACCUUAAUGAUUGAAAUUAAAAAAGAGAAAUUGCAGAGAUCUAUCUUCUCCUUAAAUAAUUAAAAAAAUAUUCAAAUCACUUUCCUAAAAUACAAUUUUUUUAGUCUUUCAAUUCUUUUAAUUUUGGAUUUUCCUCUUUCCUUUCUAGUUUCUCAUUUUAUUCUCAAGAAAAUAUCAUAAGAUGAAAUUGUUUUCCUUUCUUUUAUUUCUUUUUCUCUUUCAUCCUUCCCAAUAGAAAUUUCAUUUCAACGAAAAUUUUUGUUUUGAGUUUGUAAUUGCAUAUUUCUGGAUGAAGAUUUAAAAGGAAUCAAAAACUAAUUUUGAUUUUUUGUAUGAUGCAACGUGUCACAAAUUUCAAUUGAUGAUUAUUAAUCAGGUCACAAUUUCAUCUUAAGAUAUUUUCUUAGGAAUAAAAUGAGAAACUAGAAAGGAAAGAAGAAAAUUCAAAUUUAAAAGAAUUGAAAGGAUAAAAAAAUUGUAUUUUAGGAAAGUGAUUUGAAUAUUUUUUUUAAUCAUUUAAGAAGAAGAUAGAUCUCUGCAAUUUCUCUUUUUUAAUUUCAAUCAUUAAGGUGAAGAUUUUUGUGGAAAAGAGGAAGAAUUAAAUAAAGAAAAAAGAGAAAAAGAAAUAAAAGAAAGGAAAACAAGAUAAAUGAAAAGUCAAAAUAAUGCAAGGGCAAUUUUGUCCUAAAGGGGGUUAAGUGAGCAAAAUUAAAGGUUAGGGGGUAAACUGAGAAAUGUGGUAUUCUUUAAGGGGAUAAAAUGUGAUUAACCCUUAACAAUAUUAUGUCACAAUUUAUGCAUUAUAGUUUGAAUUAUAAAUAGGGUUAAUCGCACUUUAUCCCAUUUAAGUAUAGGUCGUUUCUCACUUUACCCCCCCAACGUUUGUUUUUCCUCAGUUUACCCCUUCCGUCAGCAAUUGCACCGUUAAAAACUUUAAGAUUUCGAAUUUACCGUACGAAAAGGGCCGUUGGUUUUAGCAGACAACAAUGCCCCUCAAUGGUGUCUGAUGCUUUUAACCUACCUUUUCCCUCAAAGAGCCGUUGGUUGGUUGGUUUUAGCCGUUGGUUGGGUUUUACAAAAGGAGGUAUUUUGCACCCAAUUUUUCUCAUACAUUCUCAAAGGUUCCAAAGUUUCUAAAAUUUCUCUCCAAAGUUCCUAAAAUUUCUCUUUGUCAACCAAAAGCAUCAUAAAAUGUCACAAAGUGCGUCAAAUGAUGUUGGAAGAUCACCCCAAAAAAUGUGUGGAUGUGGUAAAGAGGCACCAUUGUGCACGUCUUGGACACUUGAAAAUCCGGGAAGAAGAUUUUACGGCUGCUCAAAUUACAAUGUAAGAAUUUUUCAUUAAUAAUUUGUUAAUAUUGUCUUUAAUUUUGCUCUAUACCUGAAUUAGUUAGAAAGAGUUUAAACAACUAAUUAUUUUUUUAAUUUAGAACCGACACGUAUGUGGGCACUUUGAAUGGGUAGAUCCUGAAGUAUGUAGCCAAACAAAAGAAGUAAGUGUAGUGCUGCAAUCUAGAUUGCUGGAGCAAAAGGAGAAACUAAUGUACUUGCAAAGGAAGCAUGAAAAAUUGGCAAAUGAGCAUGAGAAAUUGAAAAGCAGAUAUGAAGCCUUAAAAACAGAAGUCUGCGUCUUACAAGUUGAAAACCAACAGCUACAGCAACAAUACAUGAUGGUCAAAGCUGCUCGAUUUUCAUCAUGGAGAAAAACACUAGCCAUUACAUUUCUGAUUGCUAGCAUUUUGUAUAUGUACUCUAUUUCAGAACCAAAAAGUAACAAAAAUCUGCUUUAUCUACCAUAGUUGUAAGCAAAUAUGUAUGAAAGAAAAUUAUAUUAAGUUAAAAGUAUUUUACACAUCAGAUUACAUCUUAGCAUGUGUCUGCAUGGCCACCCAAACAAAGGCCAUUUUAGUAGAACCCAGCCAAAAUAUGAUUCUAGAACAUGUCCAAAUAAUGGGAAAAGAAAAACAACAUCAGCAUUUCUAACAUUGCUGCAAAGGUAACUUCAAAUACUAGUAAUGACAAAAAUAGCAACAGCAACACCAUUUCACAUCAAAACACAUUCAGGUGUGCGCAUAACUGUUGAACGUCCAGUUGCAGCAGUUGAAGAUCCUUGGGUAGAAAACACAGCAUCUCCAAAUCUAAUACUCUUGGUUUGAACCUACAUGGAUGAGGGGCAUCUUAGUGCAUCAAACUACUACUAGGGGUGGUAGCAUGUAAACAUAGCCAAAAGACUUGAACUCACCAUUCCAGUUUUAGUAGCACCUGAAUUGGUUUUAGAACUUCCAGUUUUAGCAUCACCCAACUUGGUUCUUGGUCUUUUAGUUGUUACUGAAGUGGUUGCUUUUGAACUUGUACAUGGUACGCUGGUGGGAGCAACAACAGUAGUUGAACUCAAAUUGGCACCAGAUGUAGGUGUUCUUGUCCACUAUAUCAUCAAUAGGAAACAAUAAGUGAGCACGUAUAAAAUGGCCAUGCAUGCAGAGUUUUAAAAUGUAGGCUCACCAGUUGGGUUGGAGGGGGCUGGCCAGUCUUUGAAGUACUUGGAAUCUGCAUAAUAAAGGUAGUUUUUAAUCAUUGCAAGUGUCUAAAAUUAAAUUAGUUACAUACAAAUACAAAAGGAACUCACCAUGCUAGACUCAAAUGGGAUAUAUGUUUUACUUGUUGAUAUCCCUUGACCAUUCCAAAGUCCAAUGCCACAUAGUGGCCCAUUGUUAUGGUCUGAACCCCUACCCUUACCCCUGCCCCUACCUCUACCUCUCAUUUUAGCUCUAGUUGGGCCUCUUGCAGUUGUAGAUUUAGUCACAUCAGCAUUUUGCACAACAUCAGCAUCAGUAUUUCUUUCAACAUCAGCAUCAGCAUUUGUAGAGUGGCCUCUACCAGCUCCUCUCCCUCAUUUAGUAGGCCCUUGCAUCUUGCAAUACAUCAAAAAAUGACAGUCAGAUGUAGAUAGAAAAAAGCCAAGCAACAUAUAUUGAUUGAAGUUACCUGUGCAGUCACUGAUUUUCUUUGCCUCACAAAUGAACAACCAGUGACCUUGCAACUUCUGGCAUUGUGGUCAGUAUGACCACAAUGACUGCAGUGAAUUGGCAGCCCUACUUUAGAUAGUUUUCCAACAUGUAAGUCCUCCAAUUGAGCCUUUUUUCUAACUUUCUUAGGCCUGCCUGGAGCUAUCUUCCUACGAGGUGGGAGUAAUGUAUCACUGCUAGCAUUCACCCAAUUUGUUUGGUCUGGCAUAGGCAUAAUAACACCAGCAUAUGCCUUUACAUAUAUUUCUACUGAGUAGCAAUUAUCAACAUAUGCAUAUGGAUCUUUGUUGUCUUGCACAAGUCCAGCACAUGCAUGGACACAUGGAAUUCCUGUCAUAUCCCACUCAUUACAUGUGCAAGACCUUUGAACUGCAUUAACAGCAAAAGUUCCUACUAUACCAGUCACCUCAUACACCUCUCUUGUAGACACAAGUGCAUCAAACUGAGCUACCUGUUUUUUCCUCUCUUCAAUUUUCUGACAGAUCCUCGGACAAAUAUGAGACUUCACCUUCUGAAUCCAGUCUCUUUUUUCUUGAAAUCUGCACAUAAUCUGUCUUCGAAUGGCCUCAAACAUAGUCAAAAUAGGCUCUUCCCUAGCAUCCUUAAUGUAUUGAUUGAAGCUCUCACAUAUAUUAUUACUUAAAAGGUCACAUUUUGUCCUUGGAGAAAAGGUGUGUCUGGCCCAUAGGUUAGCUGGUAUGGAACUAAACCAUGCAUGUGCUUCUGGGGCUACUAAAUGUAACUCUCUCAUUUUGCUUUCAUAAUGACAGGGUAAAUAAGCCCUGGCUGCCCCCCACAUUAAAUCUCUUAGGUGCUUAUCCUUGAAUUUCAGUUUGAAAUUAGCAUACAUGUGUCUAACACAGAAUCGAUGCUCCACUCCAGGAUACUUAUUCUCAAUGCAAUCAAUUAAUCCCUGACAUAAAAACAUAAAUAACAGAAUUAGUGAAAGGAGUGAGUGAGGAAUAAUGGAAAGUAAAUCAGAUUGUAGUGGUGCUGACCUUUUGUCUAUCUGAUAGAAACACCCAACCCCUUUCAAUUGGAGUGCCAAUGGCAUCAGUAAGGCUGUCCAAAAACCACCCCCAACUAUCUUUGCAUUCAGAUUCAACAAGUGCCAUAGCAAUUGGGAACAUCUGGUUAUUAGCAUCCCUACCAAUUGCAGACAUAAGCUGUCCUCCCAUGAUCCCCUUAAGGUGACAUGCAUCCAGUCCUAUUACAGGCCUACAUGCAUUUACAAAACCUUCUUUUUGUGCAGUAAACAUCACAAACAUUCUCUUGAAGAUUGGACUUUUACAAAUAUUGGACUUUUCAGUUACAAUAAAUGCCACUGAACCUGGAUUUCUUUGUAAAAGUGUAGCACAAUAGUCUCUUAAUCUUGCACCCUUUCACUGCUUCCUCUGCUUUCUCUCUUGCUCUAUACAUUUGAGAGUUUGUACAGUUCAGGUUAUACUUCCUUUUUAUGCUCUUCUUGAACCCUUUUACUUUCAUAUCCGGAUGGUCAGCAAUGUCCUCCAUAAACAUCCUAGACAGCCACCUAGAAUUUGCACUCUUGUUCUUGAAAGACCAUGGACAUCUAUGAGGUACGCCUUUAAUGGACUUCACUUGAAGUGUAACUUUGCUUCCAUUAUAGCCACUAGCAUAUAUUCUCCAUCCACAUUUAUUUGAACAUAUAACCACAGCUUUAUCUUUGUCAUUCUUAGUGAAGGUAACUUCAAACCCAUUCAAAAUUGAAUACAUUCUAACUGCAGCUCUAAAAUCAUAAAUAUUGCUAAAAAUUCUGCCUACAGUCAAUUCAGGAUUUUUUAGAUCCCUUUCCAUGUUAAACUCAGGAAAUUCAUGCUCCAUGCCUUCAUCAUUUGAAUCAUAAACUGGUUUAAGUAUUUCAUCAUCACUAACAUCUUCAUCAUCGACCAGUUUUCCAUGACCUUUGGAGUUAAGGUAUGCAUUAUAUUCUUCACUAAUCAGUGCCACAUACUUAGCAUAAUCAGUCUGUUUUAGGUGACAAUCUACUUUACCACCAUCCCUCUCUACAUCAUCUAUAGGGUCACAUGCAUCAUUUAAAUCAUCCCCAUCUAGGAAAAAAUCAAAGUCAGAGUCAUAUUCAACUUCCCUACAACCAUCCCUAUCACCUUCCUGUGAAGCAUCUGAAGCAUCACUUUCGGCCUCAUCAUUUUGGGGUUGAUCAGCAUUAGGAUUUAGAUUUUGUUUACCAUUAACCUCAAUAUUAUCCUCUGCAACAGUUCUAUCAGCAUGCAAAUCUUCUUCAGGGAUCUCACCAACAUAAAGUUGUAUGAUGUUUUGAGUUCUAUUUGCCUCAAACAUUUCUAUAACAAUCUGGUCACUGUUUAACAGUUUAAGACCAACCUUAAAGUCAAGCUUCCUAACCCUAUAGUACACCUCUGUUUCAUGUGAUAUUCCAGCAUCUUUAAAAGCAUCUCUUAACUCAAAAAUUGACAUCAAAUCAGGGUCAACAUAAUCAAAAUUAGCAACUUCUCCCCCCACAUACUGUAAAUUUGGGACAUAGGCAAAAUGGCCUCCAUAGUGAACCUCUAAAACAUAGGUUUUGAAGUCCAUUCUUCUGUAAUCACACAAAGGUAAUUGUUUUUAGUGCAUGCACAGGUAAUACAGAGCAAGUAUCUUUUAUUGUCCCACAAAAAUAAAAAAUCCUAGUUUGUCUAUCUAACAGCCAACAUAUAACCAUCCAAAUAAACAAAAAAUCCAGCAAAUUAAUAAUUAAAAAAGACAAACCCAUCAUUUUCCAUCCUAACCCGACAAUGACUUGUUAUGAACUUUAAGGGACCACACUAACAGAUUUCAAACAAAUAAUUGUCUACAUAUUAAAGCCCAUGCAGUCAUUAAAAAAACCCAUACCAUUGUUUCUGUGCAAUAAAAUUGAUUAACAAUUAGAAAUUUCUAAAAUCGAGAAAAAAUUGCAAAAUCGAACCUCAUAGAUCUGCCCAAGCUCUCAUAAUCUCCUUUCACAAUCUUCAAAUUCAAUUCUGCCGUCUGUUAACAACCACAUCGAUUACCCAUUUUUUCAUUCAAGAUUGCACCAGAAUUUUCAAUUUUGUUAGUGGAGGUUUUGCUAAGGUUUCGGGCACCAGUGAAGAGAAAGUAACCCGACAAAGAAAAAAAGGAAGAGAAAGUGACCCGACAUAGUCAAAAGGGGACCUUUGUCUGUUCUGUUCCCUAAUUUCUUUUUCUUUUUCUGUCCUAUGCCAUAUGGAGGGAAAUUUCCCUCCAUUAUUUCAGGGUAAUUUUGGAAACUUGCAUUUCAUAAACCAGCGUAUAUGGGUAUUUUGGGUUGUUCAAUGUUUUGAUAAGGAUAUUAUUGUCUUUUCAAUAUUCUGUUUAGGUCUAUUAGAGGUGACCGUUAGUUUUUGGGGUAAACUGCGGAAAAACAAACGUUGGGGGGUAAAGUGAGAAACGGCCUAUACUUAAAUGGGAUAAAGUGCGAUUAACCCUUAUAAAUAAACACAAUGCAUUCUGUAUCCAUUUAGAUUUAUUUUUCUACUAUAAUGUGCACAAUGCAAUUGUGCACUAACAAUAUUAUUUCACAAUUUACACAUUACAGCUUGAAUUAUAAAUCAACACGAUGCAUUCUGUAUCCAUUUAGAGUUAGAGAUUAUGCAUGUCCAGGUAUAUAGACAUGUAUACAUUCACAUACGCACACACACAUAUAUAUCUAUAUAUAUAUAGACAUUAAUUUCACUUCUAUUGACUUUUUUAUCCAUAUGAAUGUAUAAAAAUAUCCAUUGUGUUUAUGUUGAUUGUAAAAUUAUGAAUAAGGUUGGUUCUAAAUUAUGUAUAUCUACACUACAGAAGUAAUGGUGUACACCUUCUUGUACAUUGAGUACAAAAAUUAUAUUAGUAAAUACAAGUGUCUGAUAACUACAUCAAUGGUUUACACUCGUGAUGAUUUGGGGAUUUCAUUUGGAAUUGGCAUUAUAUUUGAAGAUUUUUUAUUUUUGUGGUUUAGCAAUUUGCCUCAACAACAAUAUAGUUCAUUAAUAAAAUUCCAAAGAGAACCACUAACUUGAAUUCAUGGCUUCACACAUUAUAAGCAGGAUGUAUUUUGUUUUCGUUAUGAUAAAUUUGGUGAAUUGUAAUAUAAGUCAUCGACAAUAAUGGUUAUAAUUAUGUAUUGGUGCACUUUGGUUGCUAUAAGUACACUUUUUUGUACACUAAGUAUGACACAUUGAAUUAUAAUGUGCACAACAAUAUCUUUUGGACUAAUUUACUUAUAUGACUAAUAUGGAGUACUUUUGUUAAUACACUUAGCACAAUGCACUGUAUUAGCAUAUACGCAUGCAUUAAACAAUUGAUCACACAUAACUAUGAUCUUAGGGACUUGAUUGAGGAACUAUGAUGAGACUAAGUAAUUGAACUCCUUUGGACUUUAAAAAUGAGAUGUUGCAAUUCUCAAUGUGUGUAGUGAAGAAGUCAAAUAUGUAGCAUAUUACAUAAGAUUAUGAGUGAAUUGUUUAACAAUAUUUGUGCACGUUUUUAUUAACUUCACACCGUGUACAACUUUGUUUUGAUGAACUAUGCCAACUUUCUAAUUACAUUUACAUGCCUAAGGCACCAGUCAAGAGGAAAAACACCAUACAAAGUAACCUUGGUAAAUAAUGGAUGCAUUCAAACAAAGUUAGAGUAUACAUUUACAAUUUUAAUGUGUAUACCUUUAUAGCGUAAAAGUCAAAUGGUUCAAAUGUACAUUGGACCCUUGAUAUUGAAAACCAUCAAAUGAUGCAUGUGCAUAAUGUCCCCACAAUUUGAAUAGUCAAAAGUGCCAAAUGAUUCAUCUACAAAUGUGGUUAGAUACAAUGAGAAAAAAAAAUAUCAUUGCUAUUUCUAGAAGCAACAAAAAGCAACACGAAAUUAAUUUCACAUAGUAAUCUUUGCUCCCAAGGAAAUAGAGAACUAAAUUAAUAUCAUCAAAUAUCUGACUAAAGAAGAAUCAAUAGAGUAAAUCUUGUAAAUGCAAACAAUAUAGACACUAUCAUAAUUAAAUGAAUGCCACAUAAGUGAAAUUUACAUUUAAAAUUUAAAUUCAGCGUAUAUGACAUUCAUUCAAACGCAAUAGUGUAUAUACUGUCAAUGUAUAGAUAAUUAAUUCAAAUUAAUAUCACCAAAUUCUUCCAUCCUUUUAUGGUCUUUUCUUUUGUUCCGACCAUAUGGGAUGUGAAUUUGAUAGAUUUAAUUUUCUCUUUCUUAGUUUAUUCCACUUCCAGGAAAAGCCAUUAAUAACGCCAUAAAAAUUUUAGCAACUAACAAACCAUUUAAGAAAGUUGAGCUCUAACUACAAUUCUUGCAAGGUAAGAACAAAAUAAUAUAAAGUACAACCACUACAAUAUUCCCUGAGAUUUCCCAAGCCUUCCAAAAUAGAGGAAUAGACAAGCAUCCUUUCUAUUGUAGUAAAAUACUUGACAUUUGAGGAAAAUAAUGACAAGCAUUAGUAGAUAAAUUAAAACUAAGAACUCAAGAGACUUCCAAGCAAUAUCUAAAUAUUGUAAAUGACCAACUAAUCAAUUCAAAUAGCUCUCUAAAAAUUACAAUCUUAAUAAGAAAAAAUAAAAAUUUUCCUAGCCCAUAUAAACACAAAAGUUAACUCAGUCAUAGUGACCCAUAAUUCACUCAUAUGAGGAUAGUUUUCAUGCACAAAUUAAAGUUUAGAGCAAAUAAAACCAUCUUUACAUAACAGCACCAGUAAGUCAUCAGCACCCACCAACAGAACACAAUUAUCUUUUAUACAAAUACGUCCAAUUGAAGUUUAGAGCAGAAAAGAAAGAAAAAAAUACUACUAUUUGGCCCUAAAAAUUUUGUAAUGUUGUUAUUAGAGAAUUUAAAUAAAUAUAGGGAUUCCACCAAGUUUCACGAGCAAGUUUAAAGUAAUAGAAGUUCUCAUCAUUUUGAAUAAAAAGUUGAAAAGUUUGAGGCUUUUGUUGUUUUGUGCAUAACCUUAACUUUGGUUUGUCAUUUUAAUAACUGUUGCAAGGGAGCGUCUAUUUGGGGAGAGGGGCUAGUGCGGUUUAUUUCCUAUCGUUUGGAAAAAAAAAAAAAAAAAAACCUAAUGCAGUUGGAGUCGGGUACGGUUUGGUAUGACUAUUAUACCUUUUAUAUUAUUUAGUGCACAAUGACAUUACAUUAUUAUAUUUGAAGUAAAAGUGGUGUACGUGAAUAAAAUAUUUGACACAUAUUUAGUACAAUAUUAUGAUGUAUUUGUACACAAAAAAUGUAAAUAUGUACAACGACCGGACAUAAUUGCACAAAAUACAAUUGUACUGAGUCCUUGUCCGUUUGGACAUUCUAAUAUACGCCUUCUGCAUAUAGCUAUUACUUAUUUUUAGUUUUCUUCAUGGGUUCACAUUUAUAUAGUAAAAUAUGUUAAACAUAUUACUUAUAAUUUCCUUAGUUCACUAAGGGCAAUAGGAAACAUUCACUAAUCCUGAGUUCAUUUUUCCCAUGAGCCAUGAAUUUCAAACUUAAAAAGUGCAAAUCCAAUUUUUUGGUUAGUUCAACCAUCUUUAUAGCACAGAUUAGAUUUAACAACAUAGAAAAUGUCAAAAACGUUAAUUGGUUAUUAAGUCACGCUUUAUUCUGCACAACUUUGAUAGACUUAUGAUUUAAUAAAGACGCACUUGUUAAAACAAUUAAGUUAUUUAGAUACAUAAACUUCUAAUUGUCAAACUUCAAAUCCUGAACUGACAUGUAAAAAUUUGCCCUUAUAAGUGAAAAAAGGUUUACAAAUCUCAUCAUUCAGGCAUUUUUGUCAAACAGAUAAUCUGCAUUGUAGAAAUUUUGAAUAUCCAAUGAACACUGCAUCUACCUUUAAACAGAACCAAUCAAAUUUAAUAAGCAGAAAUAAGGAAAAAAAGGUAUAAAACACCAUGAAUAUUUAUGUAUAAAACACCAUGAAUAUUUAUGUAUUGCAUCUCUUGUGCAAUUUGUAAUUUGUAUGGGGUGUGUAUGGUUAACAAAAAAAUAAUAAUAAUAAAACAAAAUUCCUAACGGAAGAGGCCAUUCGUUAUAUGCAUUGUGAUGUUAGAGCGGUUGACCGUAAUUUUAUAAAGCCCAAGGGAUCUUAUUGUAAUAUGAACUAUUAAUUGUAUUUUGCACCCUCAACUACUGCCAAAUCGGAGUGUGCAUCCUAAACUUUCAAUUUCCGCAACUAACUACGUUCAACUUUUAAUUUUCAGUACUCCACUACAAUAACACAACUUCCGGCGCAUCGUAGCAGAUUUCAUCUGGUACUAAUUGGCAAAAUGACCCUUUCAAACUUUUUGCUUCUUUUGUCCCUAAAAUGUGCCUUUCGGGAAAAAAAUUAAAAUGUGGCUCAAAGAUUUAACUAACAUUGUACCAAACAAGCACCAAAACAUAUGAAAGCAAAAGCGGAAAAAUCAACCGAUUGUUAGCAAAGGAUUCUUGAACCGCCAAAAAAAAAAUUGAUUACAAGUGACAAAAAAAAAGUAUCUUCUUGGAAUAGGAUCAGAAAGAAAUUGAAGAACAUUAGUACUUGGCAAAACUAAGAUUAAAAAAAAGAUUCUUGAACACCAAAAAGAUGACACAAAUCCUCAGGAAUUUUUACAAAAGAAAUAUAAAAAAUAAUAAUCAAAACAAAGAAAUGCAAAUGAAAAAGAGAAAUUGAAAUUGGUGUCGAAGCAGAUGGUACACAAAAAAGCGCUUAAUAGCCGUGGAUUGAUUAGGGGUCCUAUAAUUUUUGGACAUUCUUGCCUUCCUCGUCCAGGACUCCAAACCACCAGUUCCUCCUGGGCGAUGCUAUAUGGUAUGGUAUUGCUAAGACUAAAACCCUUUAGCAGGCCAUUUGGUGGGGGAAUAUUUUUUUCCCUUACAAUGGCAAUUGUAGUCAUGGUUUUCUACCAUCUAUUUGAAUUUUUUAACAAGAAGAAGAUGAAAAUAAAGGAAGAGGAGAAGAGUUAGUAUCUUCUAAAGAUGAAAUCUUAUACACACUGAUAGUGUAUACAUUAUCAUGGUUGAAUGCACGACAUAUAUACAAAAUUUGUAUUUCAAAAAUUCAAAUUCGGAUUAUGUGUCGUUUAUCCAAUGGUGAAAGUGUACACAUUGUCAGUGUAUAAAAGAUUGAUUAUUUCCUAAAUACUUGACUCUUAUGCAUUCUUGUGGAAGUUCAGUCAAAAGAAAUAGAGGGUAAAUUGAUCACAUGACUUCUUUUUUCCGUUUGAUUUAGCUCCAUUUUUUAUCAUGCAAAAAAUUGGGAGUAGAAGGUAGCUAAUUGCUGAAAUUAAAGUGUAGGGUGCAAAGCACAGUGUGAAGAUAGUUCAGGGGUGCAAAGUACAAUUAAUUCUAAUACUAAAUGCAUGUUUUUAUCUGAUUGUCUCGCGAGGAAAGUGCGCUAAAAGUACAAAUAUUACGUGUGGGGAAGAUACUCUAACUCCAGACAAAUUCCCUUUCCUUAUUGACUUCGGAUUCUGUAACGUCGGUUAAAUCCUCACUAUAUAAACAAACAUACUUAAGCAAUAUUUGCAGUAAAACCUGUUUCUUGAAUUUAAUCAUUCCAUCCUCUCUGCAGAUUCCCGUUAAUUUGCCCUUUGUUUCUUCCUCAAUUCUUCAGAUAUCAAAACUGCUGUAAUACUCCCCAGGGUUGUACAACUAGCCACGUUCAAGAACCACCGAUUACUGAUCUGACUGAGGAAUCAGCAAUGGAUUUCGACCAUAAUGAGAGACCUAAUUCCACGCUCUACCAGCAAUUAAUGGCUCUGCAACCUCUCUAUCCUACUGCUAGUUUAAGGGAACUGAUUUCUUUUGCUGAUGAUCUGUUUCCUUAUGCUUUGGAGGCUGACUUGAUCAGCUUGCAGGAGGAAGGGCUAAUGGGGCAAGACAAUGGUUAUAGUACUGGUAAUCUUAUGAUAAGUAGUGGGUUGCGAGAAGAUAACAUAAUCCAGCAACUAAAGAUCAGAAGAAGAAGUCGUCAUCAAGAAGAGGUUGCAGAUGAUGAUGAAGGCUUUGAAGAAAUCUGUGUGGUUUGCCAGGGUGAAUACGAAGAUGAGGAGAUGCUGGGAGCACUGGGAUGUGGACACGAGUAUCAUGUUGACUGUAUAAGAAGAUGGUUGGUGCAGAGAAAUUUUUGCCCUGUUUGCAAACGCAAAGCUAUUCAAGAACCGGACCCUCAAUUUGAAAGCAUCUCUUUAGAUAAGUAGAAUGGGGAUUUUUUGAAACUGAUUUACCUGUUUUUUGAUUAUACUACAUUUAGGUACUUUUAAUACUUAUUUGGUUAAUUUUAGUUAGUAAAUGGGUGGUAUGGGAAAGACUGCUCUGUAUACGGGAGUUGCAUACAAGAAUUUUCAUUGUUUAAAUCUGGAGACUUAGAUUUACUUUUCUUCAGAUAUUAGUUGGGGUGAUACAUGAUUUGUGGACCCUAAGUUCAAAUGCCUUCUUGAAAUUUUUGUAUAAUUGAUAGUGACAACUUGUAGUUGUUGCCAACUUCUUUUGUUCUUAUAAGCAUUAUUUGCACCAAUAUGCCUAUUCAAACUGAGGGAUUUCCUCUACUUGGCCUUCAAUUCUGUUUCCAGCUGCUACUGAUUUAGUAAUGAAAUUUGAGUAUAAUAAAAUCCCAUCUUUUCUCUGUUCAAAUUGUUGAUUGCUCAAUGAACUUUAUACUUUGAGCAAUAUAUUGAGCAGGAAAACAGAAAUAUUGGAUCUAAAUAUUGGCAGCAAGGUGGUUAUUAUCCUCAUCUAGGGGACCUUAUACAAGUUCUAUUGCAGAUAUUUUUGGAUUGGCAAUUGGCUUUCUACACCCUUCUUCGUGGGAGGAAUUACUCACUGCAUAGAACUGGGGGAUGCUUUCUUGUAGUAGAUGGUAUCGUUUUUGGCGUUAUGAGGUUUUAAUAAUCUUCUCAUCCUUAGUUUUCGAAUUUAAUUACUCAGUACUGUUAAUGACUGACUUCUUAAAUUUCAUCAACAUAGAAUGUUGAAAAGCCUGUAGAUAAUUAAUGACUUAAGAGACCAUUCUUUGCUUGGACAAAUCUGCUCAAAUUAGAGCAUAUGGGCCAGAUCCGAGGCAGAAGUUUGAACCAAGAAGAAUGAAACUGGACACCUUCAGAACCGUUGCCUAGAGGGGAUCCGUGCGCGCGGAUCCAUCCGGGGAUCCUCUUUGGAGCACUUUGGAACGUUUUUUUCUGUACUUCUUUUGAGCAUCUCCUCUGACCAUCCAACCAUACACCUUCAGGCGCCUGAAUGGACACAUAUGAUGAAUAUGCAAAAGUUGUCCUCUUCAUUGUAGAAUGACUUUUAACAAGGUUGAACAGCACCUUUGAAGGUCCUCUUGAAUGUUUUGCUAGAACUCUUCAGGAACAAUGAAGAUGCAAAGGUAGAUAGGUCUCAAACACUUGGCAGCAACCAGAUUUGUACCAUUCCCCCUCUCUUAAAGGCGAUUUAUCUUCAAAUCAUGCACUUACUUAUAAUGAAGCGACUUGAGAAAUGUCGUGAUGAACGCAAGCCACAUAGCAUGUCGCCUACCCAAUUUUACUACGCACAUGAUCCAACACACGUUCUCCCUCACAUCCUAUUUGUCAUGAACACGUAUCCAAGAACUCAUGAUCAUCAACUUCAAUGGAUAGGAUAAUUGAAGCGUAGCUAUGAAUUCUUGGACCUCUAUCAGAUUCGUUCCCUUCCCUGUAGGUUAGUAGAUGUAGAUAUGUGGCGAUUGACAACCAAAAAAAAAAAAAACAGAACAUGAAUCAAGUUGGGCUGCUGUACACCUUUCCCAAAUCAGUUUUACGAAAUGACAUUUUGCUGAUUUCCCAAAGAGCCUUGGUACAAACAGUCAGGAUAAAUGAUAUCAUAGAGGAUAAGUUGGCAAUCUAAUCCUCAUUAGGACUGACCUUUCGUAGAUGGAGAGAACAAGAAGAGAUUAAUUUUCUUCUUCUCUGACUGAACUUAGAUUCUGUAUAUAAUCUAAUAAAAAAUGUAGCUGAAAUCUGUGAGCUUCAGCAUGAAUUUUCCUUGAAGUGUUGCUCAUGACUGGGGAUAGCUAAAGAUACCAAUUAUGUAUGUGUUAACCAUUUCUGGGUGAUGGAGCAGCAGAGCUAACUAUGGCAUAUGGUUUUGGUGAUCUAUGAGUAACUAAAUUGCAGUUCAGCUAAACGGAGAAACAAAAACAUGUUGUGAGGAUGAGUAUGAUCUUGAAAAUGCAGAGCCAAAAUAGUAUUUAUUUGCGUCAUAACUACAAAUCGAUCCCUUCCCUUUCCUUAACUUCAGCAAUCAAAUCACAGUAUCUGAUUGUUGGUUGUUUUAGCUUUUAAACUAUCUAGCUACAAAUGUCACAUGAGAUCUACAAAAGGCAGAUUCUAGAAGGCGAUUACAGAGCAAGAGAACUUAAUGCAUUACUUCAAAACUGAGCAACCAAUUGUAAAAAAAUCUAUAUGAUUAGAGUAGCAUUUUAACAGCUUAUUAGCCAAAAUAAGCACAUAUACAUUGAUUUACACGAGAAUUUUUAGUUCUAAACUAAUUUGACUUUGUGGUAUACGAGGCUCCUAAUAAUUCCUGCUGCAUAGAAAGUCUGCGGAAGAGAGAGGACCUCUAAUGCCAUCAUUCCUUAUUGGCACCUGAAAUCCUUCCUCUACUGAUCUCCAGGACCAGUGGAUGUCUUGGAGCUACCAGAAUGCCAUGACAAUAUCGAUCCACGGCCUCCAAAUAUAUCAUUCACCCAACCAUAAUGCUCUUGUUUAAUACCAAGAAAUGAUUAAGGCUGCAGCACAUGUUAUACAUGGUUCACAUAUGACAUAAAGUGUGCAGUUUGAACACUUAGCAGCAACUUAAGGCCUUGAAAGUCCAAUUGUCCGCCACUGGUUCAGGAGGAGAUUGACUGCUUCCAUCUCUACGUGCCUGUAGCAAUUUUGCUCCCAGUGGAUUGAUUUCUUUCAGAAACAGUAAUAUUAUUCCUCUUAUCCACAAUACCAAAACCAGCAGGCACUUCAAAGCUAUCCCAGGCAUGCUUUGCUCGGUCCAAAGAAAACUUCAUAACUGAUGUGAAGUAUCUGGUGCAAUCACAAUCUUUAAUCUUACUAUGGCUGCAAGUACAUACAUAUAUACCAAUUGAAAGGAUGGGUUUAAGAAAUUUGCUUAACACAUGACAAUGUAUUUUUAAGUUCAAGCAAAAGGAUUUACCCAGAUCAAAGUCAGAUGAAGAAACAACUCAGUAUAAUCACUUUGGGAGGAGCAGCUUCACCCCAAGGGAAUUCUGACAAAAGGUUAGGGACAUCGAAUAGAGUUGGGGAUAAAGCAAAUGAUAAGUACCAUGUAGACAAUUUAAAGGGUGCUUUAUUUCAGUUAUUGGAGAAAAAAGUGCUUGUUUUCUGUUAAUUAACAUGUUUUGUCCCUUUUCUCAAUCUGCAGGUUUUCAAGCCCACUGUGUGGUAGAAUAUUUCAAACUAAAUUGUAAAGAGUCGGAGAUAUUGUUACUCGAAACACUGGAGUGAUUGAUGCAAAUUUACUGCAGAUACAAGAAACGAAAUUGUAAUUUCAAAACAUAAAUAAAUUUUGUCCAUCUUUGCUUGAAAAACUAACCAGGCUUUCCUUACCUUUUUGUACCAAUAAGAAGACAAUUAAAUACAAAAGUAAUUUAUUGAAAGUGUAUAUAUAUACUAGGAGGGGUUCACCGCGCAUAUGCACAGUGUAAAGUUAUAUACGUCAUAUGGCCAGCAUAAAGUCCAUUGUAGUUGUUUUUUUUUUUUUUUUUUGAAAACAAAAUAGAUAAUUCAUAAUUAGUAGUAACGACUUAGAUAACUUGAUGUUCAAAAUAUCAUAUUAGCCAAGUAUGUUGAGUCAAGCCCACCCCCGUUUGGAUUGCUAUAUUUCUCAGAAAAAUUGUUACGUUUUUUGUGAACACAUUUUCUUAUCACCUUUUUACCUCACAUAUAUCAAAUCGCUAUAGUAAUUUUUUUACAAAAAAUCCAGAAAAAUGCAAUCCAAACAAAUCCAUAGUUAAAAAUUUUAUAAAUUAUUGCAAGUCGUAUUCAUAAUUAGCUAUUAAAAAACGUUUGUGGUAUGAAUACAUAUUGAAAGAACAUGGCAAUAAUUAUAACAAAAUAAUGACAUAUUAUUAUGAGUCAAUUGUAAACAUUAUCAGUUUAGAAAAAGGUAAAGAGAGAACAUGAUGAACAUUGGAGUAGAAAUUAUAUAAGCCUCUUAAAGGUCGCUAAAACACUUUCAUUAAGGGUAAUCUACUUAUCUACCAAUACAUGGCUCCUUAAAUAAAUAACCAUGUUUAGAGUUGUAUUCAGAAUUUCAUUAAUAGAACCCUUUGCUACUCUCCCAACCGGAAUCUAAAAUUUCCAUGAGUACAAUCAUCUCCUGUCAGCUACUUUGGUGUGUAUCAAGAACAUCAUCAUGUGCUUCAGAAAACUUGCUUCACUCGAACUUCAAUUAAAUUUAACUCUGGGUGCCUAAGAAUGACUUGAGGCAAUAACUGCCAUCACGAAUGCCAUCUCCAGAGCGAUGACUGAAAUGUAAUUUGAUAGGGUGUAGAUCAUCCCAAUUUUCCAACAAUUCCUUGUAAACCUUAAAAAGAGUGAGUCAGUCGGUAAGUCCAGCCCCCUUGACAGAUUUCAACCUGGAUCUUGCAUUUAUCAUGCAGAUGGUAGGCUAAGUAUAUUAGACAAUAAUUGUAGACAUGCUACUGGGAUUCCUAAGACUUGAGAAGCAUUUCUUGAAUAAAAACCACAAAGCAAAUUGGCAGUUCCUGAAAAAGACAUUUAUCGACAAUAAGUUUCUUUUUUCUUGAUAAAAACUACAAAGCGAGUUGUCAGUUCCUAGAAAAGGACAUUUAACAUCAAUAAAUUUCUUUUACAGCAUAUUCAAACGAAUAAUGGAAUGCAUGUACAUGCAGUAUAAAGAGAAAAUCUAUUUAGUAAGACAAAACCCACACCCGUGCCAAUUGAACAGAUUGACAAAAAGGGAAAAAAGUAUUUCUAAUUGGCCAUAAGUAGAAUGAUUCUAGACUAUCAAUAACUUGUAAACAUCAGAGAGAGCCUUAAAGUCAUAAAACUUGGUGAAUCAAGAAUCAAAAAAUGUCAAAUAAAGAUCCAUGCAUAGUCAGUUGCAGUCCUGUUUUGACAGGUAUGUGAGCGAUUUUGCUGAGUUGGGGAAGCAUACAAAAGUAUCUUCACAUACUUCUGAAUCUUUUGGAUUAAUUCAAUGCAAUUGAUAUCAAGGGGAAAAAAGUAAUGAUUAGACACCCAAGACAGCUUAUUGAAGAAGGGAAAUAAUUUUGAAGAAUGAUUAGAUGAAUGGUCAGUUCAACCUUAACGUUCUAUUUACUCUUCUUUACUCUGAAUAUUGUAAGUUUGAAAUUUUUGGGGUUUUGGGGGUUGGGGGGGGGGGGGGGGGAACCACCUUUCUCAGAACUUUGAAUUCUCAGUUGGCCCUUUAUCAUUUGAAGAAGUUGCUCAUUCUUAAAUCAGUAAAGAAAUGAAGCCGUAAUGCCCCUGCACAGUUCAAUACAAAUACCUGUAACAUACAUAUAAAUUGAAAUGAAGCGGUAAUCAUUCAUUGUAAGCUAAGAUUACACCUUCUCUAAGACAUAUUGUGUUGUAUAGCUACUGGUGCUGAUAUCAAUUUCUUAUUGAUAUUUGAAACUAAAAAUGCUUGACAAUUACAAAAGCAAUUUAAGUGAAGGGAAAUGUAGUAGAAACAGUUAUGCUUGUGUGAAGAUAAUUAGGCCAGCUACAUGUUAUCAUGAAAAGGGAAAGCUCGGCCAAACAUUAAAUAGCAGAACCAGAUAAAGUCUGAAGAUUGUUUUACAACAAAUUAUCAAAAUCCACUUUGAUUAUACAUCUUGAAAAUUACUAAACAAGCAAUGGAAAGAACAAACCUGCAGAAUUGAAACUAAUGAAAUAGCAGAUCCAGAAAGGGAUGGAAGGCUUGACAGGUUAGUUCGGAUUAGCAGAAUCUGCUGUAGAAUAGGCUGAAAGCACCUUCAGAACCUACAAAUUAGAAAAAAAAAUGAAUUUGCAUACAGAUCUUCAAGAAGAAUCAAGUUGAGUGAAGCAAAAGACAAUUGCAGCCUAAAUUACUAAAUUAUUUUCUAUGUUCAGGGAGCGAACAAUCCCUUGAAAAGUAUAGGUGCCGGUUGCACAUAUUAAAGAGAACAUUCAAGUGCUUGAACAUGCUAUCUCUGUUGGCUAUAAUUAGUUGAUCUUCAAAAAUUUGAGAGCCAUUGAUGGCUAUUAUUAAGAAAGCAUACAUUGUAGUAAAGUUUUAACCUUACAAAAAGCUAUAAUUAGUUUUAUCUUCAAAAAUUGAGGAGAGACACUAAAGUCAAUUGAAACAAAAGGAUUUCUAAUUCUCGACAAGCAGAAGGUUGAUGAUUAGCCAUCAUCCACCAUGUGAAAAUGCGUCAUAAGACAAAGAAGGAUCUCACUUAAGGAAAGGAACACCAAAAUUAAAUUGAACAAGCAUAAGAACCUGAUCAUCAUAUAUAUUAACUACUGAUUCUGUUCUUAAAGCAUAUCACAUAAAUUUUAACUAUUAUAUUGUUAGGCGCCUGACGUUCCAAAUGUCCAAAUAGUGGAAAAAAUGCGGGAAUACAAGAUUUAUUAUUCAAUUCUUUAUCAGCUAUGUAAUAGUUAUACCCAGAGCUGAUUCGCCUAUAUAAUGGAAUAGAGAAUCAUAGAGGAUAAGCCAAUACCUUAAAAUUCAAUCACCACAAAAAAUUGCACAAGAAACUAAUACCUUAAGGACCACUAUGGGCUAAAAGAUGGCAACAACUAUGGCAGCUUUUUUUCCUUCAUGAUUAGUAAAUGAAUCUAAUAAAAUUCCCCACAAAUUAGAGACCAAAACAAAUUAAACAUUGAAUUUGCUAGAUCCAUAAACCUAAUUACCACUUCCAUGCAUAAUAUAGCAAGGUCAAUGAAAAUAACACCAUUCAAACAAACAAAAAUUUACACUAAAAUUAACUAUCCAAAAUAUCAACAUUUUGAUUUCCACCUAAUGAAAACAACCUCUGAUGAGAUGUUUCUGCACAUGUGAGAAGUGCCAUUUUGUUAACAUAGUUCCUAAAAAUGUGUACACUGUGGUUCCCAACCAAAAAUGCCCACUUACAUUUGACCUAAUGUGACCCAAUGGCAUAAAUAGCAGCCAAAAUUUUACAAAGACAGAUAUGGCAACUCACAAUUAAAUCUUAAAGACAAAUUUAGUACCUCUAUAUUAACAUUUUCCAGGCCAUUGUCAGAUUUUAUAAGGCCGACAGCCAUGAGAAAUAAAAACCCCAAAUGAGAGACUACAUAAGAAAAAGUUUUGCAAAUUCACCAAAUUUCACAUACAAUACAUAAUUAAAGCAUUCUAAAUCUGCAAUCGAGUUUCUUAAUCUGAGAAGUCACCAUGAAAGAAAAGAAAAGCUUGAGUUUAGUCAGAUUUACCGGUCCAAUAUCAUCAAUCCUGAUGAUGGAGUGCUUCAUUAUGCACUUGCAGACAUCAGAGCAGUCAUAACAGAAUGGAAUAGAGUAGCUCGCACAAAGGCCAAUCGGGACUUAUGUACUGCACUUGGAAUUGAGUUUUCUAUUUUCCAGCCAGAUAGUGUUUGCAUAUAAGUGUAUUUCAGGUAAUAUCUUGAUGUAUUGUUGUGGGUAUUCCCUUUGAUGCUGAUCAAUCGAAAGGAAGCUCAUUAGAAAAAGGGGAUAAUAAGUAUAGAUAUGUAUAUGACCUUGUCAGGUGAAUCGUGCACCACUCCCAAAAAAAAAGCGGGAUAAAAACCAUCCCUUGGUUGUAUAUCUCAAUUCCUCAUCUUGUAACCAGGAAAAAUGGAUCUGUAGAAACCAAAAAAGGGUUCCGAAGAAGGAAAAAAAUAUAGUAGUACUAUAUGGAAUUUCUAGGAGAUCACGAGACAGUGGAGGAGAAAGAUAAAAAGAGAAAGUGGAGUUAUACAGUACCCAUACCACAUGGCCAAAUCUAGUUAAUAUUUUCUUUUCUUGACUGCAGGAAACUGAAAAAAAUCGCUUAAGGGAGAAAAUUUUUAGAACAUAACAUGAACUUUAUAAAUACCAGAUCUCUGAGAAACAAAACAACAGACCUGGAAAAGUAAAAAAUCAUGGUCAAGGAUAAAAUUGACUCCAAAAUUCCGACUGCUAUCAGCCAAGAAUCAAAAAAAUAAAAUUCAGAAAAUCAAUCAAAAGUCACCAUAGUCAAGGAAUUCAUAAUAAAUAGGUGAAAUGACAAAAUUAGUUUUGCAGAAUAUUGAGACAUGAACUUGAACUUCUAUGAUUCCUAUAAAGUACAUAUUUUAACUCAACCAAAAGCAAAACUUUUCUUGAUAAAAAAACAGAAUGCUUGGAGAGAGAUUUAUAGUUCUCCACUCCAAGAUUUAGUUCAUAGGUAUAUGAAGACGGCUUGGCAGAGACUGACUUUCAAAAUUUCUUUAAAGGAGGAUCUUCUAAAUAAGACGAGUAGCAUGCAAAUUAACAAACCAGUUUGACAUAAAACUUCUAUGUCUGCAACUUCAAGAGUAGAAAAUAAGAUGAACGCACUUUGAUAGACAACUUUGAUAGUUUGGUCUAUGUAUAUAGUAGCUUCAUUUUUCAUAUAAAUUUCCGUCCAAGUACUUUUAGAAUAAACAAAGCAGCCUCUCUUUAUAAAGCAGCAAAAGUCACAGACCUUUAUUGUAAAUUAUACUUAUUCAUGGCAUUGGUUAUGGACCUUCAAAAGACACCACCAUCUCAACCAAGAAUCCAGAGGUCCAUCAUGCAAAAUGGUUUCAUUUGAAAGCAUUUUCUUGCUAUGUAACCUGAAAUUUGGCAACCAACGGUUCAUAAUCAUAAACUAACCAUAUGGAGAGCCAGUUACUAACUAAAAGAGGGGAUAAUUAAGUUAGAAUAUGGUAAACGUAAUCCAUUCCUCCGACCCCUAGUCUAACAGAUACAGUAGGAAACAAAUGCUAAUAACUGUCAACUAUCACUGCAUGAAAACCAAAUAGUGAUGGGCCAAUACGCCCCUAGCAGAAUAAAAAUCUUAAAAAGUAGGAUUUGAUUAUUAACAAUUAGCUUACUCAACAAAGAAAUAUAGUCCACUUUUCGAUAAUUUCUUAACCAUCUGCAUGAGAAUCUAUAUGUCCAAGAAAUCACAUGUACCACUCUUCUUCUUAAAGACUUACUACACAUUGUAAAUUCUAAAAGUGUACGUUAAAGCAAUCACAACAAAAUUUUAACUACACUAUAAUGUAAACAUGAGUAGUGUUUAGAGCUGAACCUUGAUGUAAAUGGUGAUCAAGUGACCAGGCAACAAAAUUUAACCCAAUUCACAACCUCUCUCCCUUGAUAGGCUCUUCCUCACAAAACCCCCAUUUCACAUUAUAUCAGCUGCUUCGAUAAACAAGUUUUCUGGUACAAUUGCUCACUCAUAUGUUACUUCAUGGCUCUACAAAUAUACAUAGAUGAAAUAGAAAAUAGACCUGUAUACACUAAAAUCUAGGGUUAGGGUUCUGAAGUCAUUUCCUAUGGCAAAUGAUGGAGAAACGUUGCAUUACAGCAAAAGGAAAAGAGAAGGUUGAACCAAAACUCAGAAGCAUACUCAAGAAGAAAAGAAAAAACACCAGAUCUCUGGGUUUACAAAUACUUCCGACUUUUGGUGCUUUUGGAUGGAUUAAGAUGGAGAUUUUACUGCAGCCUUUUUUUUUUUUUUGGCUCAAAGAAGGAGAUGGAAGAAUAGUAUUUCAAACCUCUGGGUUAUUAAUCAAAAGAUUAACAAAUCCUAGCAGGAAAAAUGGCUUUCUUUUUUGAAUCAAGGACAGUGUAAAAAUUUAGGGAAAUAUUGGAGCAUACCGAUCAAGAUGAUUUCUGUGUCUCAUGCGUUUCAUAGCUUCAAAUCCAGACCAAUUCUAAUGACAAGGGAAAAAAAUCAAUUAGAAUCAUAUAACUCAAAAAAGAAAAGAGAAGAAAGGGAAAAAGGGAGGGGAAACGGGAAGGGAAGACAGAGAAGAAGGAAGUACCAAAUAUAAAAAAGAAAAACAAGAAUGGGAAGAAAGGAACAAAGAAAAUAAAAGAAAAAAGGAAGGGGAGAGGAGCUUCGGAGAGGAACGAAGCAGCGGAGAAGAAUGAAGGGAAAGAAGACAAGAAGCCCUAGGACAAACUCUUGGUCAAACUUGCCACCAAUCUCCUCUUGCCACGUCAUCAGGAAGCCAAUCCCCUUAUGACACAUGGGCGGAUGACCAAAUCUGACGUGGCUAGAGGUCCUUCACGCUUAUACUAUAGGCUAAAUAUAUUAUAUAUAUGUAUAGGAUAAAAUAAAAAAUAAAAAUAAAACAGCUAAACUACUUAUCUUACAACAAUUACCUUACGUGUUCGGAAAGGGGAGCAAGAGUAUGAGUUGGGGACAGUACACCAAGGGUAGCAGAGACUGGAGAGAAUAAGGAGGAAGUAAUGACCAGUGGUUGUAGAGAAAGGGGAAAAUUACCAGCCAGAAGCGUGAGAAAAGAGAGACCUCCUAGUGGAAUUAGCUAAGGGAGUUGUUCAGUGAGGUGGCAGGGGAGACUAACUUGUAAUUAAAUUGUUAUACUGACUUGAUCCAUUGUGGCCCACACAUUGAGCAGGUGUACAUGUACGUGUUGGAACUUGAACAUGUACUUUAUAACUAAAACAUUAGAAAUAAAUAUUGUGCAUACCUUGUGAGAUUGCUACCUCUGUGCUUGAGAAUGGAAUAUUUCAUGAUUAUUAUCAGGCCUAUUCAAUAAUAAAUGAACUAAAUUGGUCAUCAAUCAGAUCAUAGGCAUCAAGUUUGUACAAUUAGAAAGAUUAACAAGAGGAGGCAAGAAGAGGGACAUAAAGAGGACUCCUAAAAUAGCUUAUGGUCAGCAAGGGAACAAGAAUCAGACAUUAAAGGGUAGAACAGAAAGAUCAAAGAAGAUACUAAUAAAUAGUUCAUGAAACAAAAAGAAAAAUCUAUUCUCUAAUGGAGAAUGAGUAGAAUCCAUGUUCUAUGUUCUUGGAUGAUUAUAUCUGUUAUUUAGUUAAUGAUGUAACAAGUUCUUUUACCUGUUAAAGUAAGUUGAGUGAAAACCUUCAUGCUAAGUUGAGACUUAAACUUCUAAGUAGCAGUGUAAAUUAUUAAUCAAAACAUUGCUGGAGCUUUAGCUUCACAUGAGUAUCACAACAUAAAAUGGGGCCACAGUAGUUCACAGUUUUUUUGAGUCACUACGUGACAUCGUAUAUAAGUUCAACACAUUACAAGUUUUACUGGUCUUUCCAAGGUAUUUGACGAAAAUCAUAAAUAUUCUAAAUAUUAGGCCAAGCCUUUGAAAGUCCCUAAUAAACAGAUAUGUUUUACACUUUCUUGAAGGAUAAGUGGAAGGCAAAUAACAAGUGACAUGAUGAAAGAAGGUACCAAAAAAUCCUGCAUAAACAGACCUUUUUGACUUUUGGAAAGCUUAGAGUUCAACAAGUAUCUAAGUUUACAAUUUAUCCCACAAGUGAACAUGAAAUAAGGAAUAAGCAUUUUAACAGAAACUCCAAAAGGGAACAUGAUAAGUGAGUAGCUGUAUAUAUGGUUGCUGAAUGUUUGAAAGCAUGAAGUAUCACAUAUCAAUAUAAGGGUGCCUAUGCUUCUCAAAUAUUCUAAAGUUAAUAAACUUGUGCAUGUCAAUUCAUUAAGUUAUACAAACAUCAAGGGGAAAGCAUAAUCAAGAAAAAAAAUGAGAAAAUUGAUUCUAAGUACAAAACUUGUAAGUUUAAUAGAUUAACAAGGUACAGUACAAGAACUAUGUGGGAAAUAGUAUAGGAUGACUGAAAAACAAGAGUAAGAUGAAUGUCAUACAAUAUAACAGAAUAUGAUUUCUAUAAUUAAAGUGUUCCAAAAUCACUCAGAUUUUCAAGUUGCUAUGUGAAUAAUUAUAGAAAAUGAGCCUAAUUGGAGAACAUUUAAUUUUGUGAUAAACCCAAUUACCUUUGUUCUAACGUUGUCUGCCUUUUAACCACUCUGUACAUGAAAUGACGUUUCUGACAUUAUCAGCAGCCUGAAUCCAAUCUACUGUAACCUGGUUCCUUUCUAAUUCUACUUUUAUCCAUCAACUCCCUGACCUUAUUUGCAUCAUCCCAUCUCUCUACAUCAACAAACAUGUUAUACAGCAAAACAUAUGGGCCGGAGUCCUCUGGAUCUAGCCUCAACAAAGCUUCAGCUGCUACUUGUGCUAUCUCCACAUUGUUGUGCACCUUACAGGCAUUUAGUAAUGCACCCCAGACAGAUUUAUCAGGUUCAAGUGACAUUGCGUAAAUUAUGUUCAAGGCUUCCUCAACAUUUCCAAAACGACCCAUCAUGUCCACAAUGGAGGCAAAGUGUUCAACCCUUGGUUCAAUACCAAAUUCAUUAAUCAUGGCCUCAAAAUGCAACCAGCCUUGAUCAACAAGACCAGCAUGAGUACAUGCAUUCAGAACUGCAAUGAAUGUAAUGUAAGUAGGUCUCACUCUUUGUUGCUUCAUCAAGUCAAAUAGUUCAAGAGCUUCCAGUGCAUAACCAUGAGAUGCAUAUCCCCCAAUCAUAGCAUUCCAAGAGAUUACAUCUUUCUCAAAUUGCAUCUCAUCAAAAAUAGUUCUUGCUUCAAAUAUUGCCCCGCAUCUAGCAUACAUUGUAAUAAGCGAGUUAUUUAACGGAAUAUCAGGCACAACAAUCUUUGUUACUAACUGAUGAAUUUGCAUUCCCAGAUCCACUGCCACAGACUCGGCACAAAUGCUAAGAAGUGAAGAUAAUGUGUGUCGAUCAGGUUUUUCUUCUGUUCCUUGCAUCUCAAUAAAAAGCUUGAUGGCUCCAUCAUAAUCUGCAUUUUUCUCACUUCCUGCAAUAAUUGCAUUCCAAGAUAUCCUGUUUUUCUCUGGCAUCCUUUCAAAAAAAUUACGAGCAAGUUCCAAGCUUCCUGACUCGGAGAACCCUGAGAUCAUUGAAUUCCAUGAUAAUGCAUCUGGGCUUGGCAUUUCAGAGAAAAGCCUUGAAGCUUCUUCCAUAUUUCGUACCUGAACAUAGCCACUAAUCAUGGUAUUCCACGAAACAGAAUCACGCUCAAUCAUCUUAUCAAAUAACUCCCUGGCAGAAAUGAUAUCUCCAGUUUUCACAUAGCACAUGAUCAUAGAAUUCCAUGACACCAAAUUUUUCUCAAACCUUCUAACUCCAUUCCUAUUAUCAUCAGCAGCAUAAAUUGGGAUUUGAUCAAAAAGUUUCCGGGCAUCGUUCACCCUUCCCUUUUGGCCGUACCCGGCAAUCAAAACGUUAUAAGCUUGAAGAUAAUCUUCACUCCCGCUAUCCCUCGUCCCAUACUUGAACAGAACAUGUGCAGCAGCAUCCAACUCUUCAUUCUGUAUUAAACCAGACACAAGAACACUUAAAGAAGCGGCGUCCCUGUCAGGCAUUCUCUCAAAGAACUCAACCGCCCUUUUCAUAUCACCAUUUUGCAGCAACCCAGAAACGAUCGCAUUCCAAGAAACAACAUUCCUCUUAGGCAUACACAUAAAAAGCCUCAUUGCUUCAUCUAUUCUACCAUUUUUCGCGUACCCACUAAUCAUCGUGUUCCACGAAACAACAUCCCUCUCCGGCAUUUGAUCAAACAGGUAUUUUGCUUCUUGCAUAUAUCUACUUCCCCGACACCCCAUAUAACCCGAAAUAAUCAAAUUCCACGAGACAACAUCCCUUUCAGGCAUUUCAUCAAACAGUUUUCGAGCUUGUGCAAUUUCUCGCCUAUGGACGUAUCCACUCAUCAUUGAAUUCCAUGUGAUUGUAUUUCUAAGUCUUAAUCCAUCAAACAAAACUCUUGCUUCUUGAAUCCGGCCACUUCGUAUUAAACGUGUGAUAUUCUUGUUCAUUAUCUGGAGGUCUCGGGGAAUCUGAGAAGCAGAAUUGGAGACUAAACUGCAAAGACAAUGAGCUACAACAGGGUCGUGAUUAACAAUUUGAUAUUCACAGUUUGUCGUCCUAAAAUUUAAUAAAAUAUUGUUUAAGGUAAUCAAAUUGCUCCGCCAUCGGGCGAACAUUUUGUUUUUAAGGAUCUUUAGAAUGAGAGACUAAUCUGAACUUAACUGCAAAAAAUUUCACUUAUUAAUCUGAACUUGACUAAUUCGAAACUUACACAUGUAAGGCCUCAUCUUGGCCCAUUUUUUCAAAAUAAGUUUCGGACCGAGAUUGUAUAAGCUAUUAGCUUGAAUUUUGUCGAAAAAUUAUGCAUAUGAUCGGAUUUUUAAAAUGUUUCAUAUAAUAUGUAGAUAAGAAUACUCAAUUUAUACAUUUACCAUAGAUAUUUAUUAAUUGUAAAUUAUUUAAUUAAAAGAAUAAUGCUUUAAGAUAAAUAUAUUAUUAAAAUAAUUAUUUUAUAUGAUUUUGUUUAUCUUCAACAUGUAUAAGUAUUAAGUAUUUGAUCUGAUAUUAUUAUUUUGAUCGAGCAUAGAUGAGGUUGAGUUUAACUUCACCUAAGCCCAACCUAUAGACAACAAACAUGCUUUUCUUUUAAUUAUGUUUAAUCUCAUAUUGAUCAGCUUACUCCAUAGAAAGCAAAGAGAAAAAUGAAUAAAGCUUGGAAAAAGAUACUCUCUAGGCUCUAAAGCACACCUCUAAGUAAAAACAUUUUCAAGGACAGAAUACAUGCGAACAUUACAUUUGCAAAAUUUGGAAUUAAUGAUUCACUCUAGGGCUGCAAACGAAUCGAAUCGCUCGCGAGUGGCUCGAAUCAAACUAGACUCGAGCUCGAGUCGAGUUCAAACUGGCUCGAGUCGAAAUCGAGUUCAAAAUAUUAAACUCGUUAACUCGUGAGUCGGCUCGCGAACUCGAGUAUAUAUAUAUAUAUUUUUUAUUUUAAGUAUAUAUAUUUUUUUUAUUUUUUUAUUUUAAGUAUAUAUAUAUUUUAUAUUUUUUUAAUUUUAAUAGUAAAAUUAUAUAUACAUCCUUAAUAUUUUAUUAUUUAUUAAAAAAAUAUUAUUUUAUUUAUUUUUAAGAAAAUAAAAUAUUUAUUUUUUAUUUUUUUUGAGCUCGAGUUUGAAAUUGUCAGCUCGUCAAGCUCGAACUCGAGCUCGAGUUCGAGUUCAAUGAAAUUAUGUUGAGGCUCGGCUCGAUUAGGUCAAAACUCGACUCGACUCGACUCGUCUGCAGCCCUAAUUCACUCAUUCAUGCCUACAGAUGACUUUUUUUUCAGUCAGGCUAUUUACUCCAUUUGUGCAUUUCAUUUGCUCUUCAAAGUUACUAAAGCUGUUAAUCAACCAAAGUAAAAAGUGCUUAGCAUAUUUUAGUCUCUAGGCAUAAAUUUAUUUUUUCCUAUCCUGAGAAGCUUCAAAAAAUAGAGUUCAAAUAAUUUGUAGUAUAGUUUAAAAUUGAGUUGUUCAGUUUUCGCUGCGCAAAAAAGAGGAAGAUAAGUAACUCAACCCACUUGACCAGAUACAUAAUAGUUCUACAACCAAAAUCAGUGCAUAAGCUUAAAGGUUUUAUCUAUCAGUCAUUUACAUUUAUUUGUCAUAGGCUGCUUUUACCAUCUCCUUUCUAACCUCAAUUAUGUCAUUGUUCUUCUUCUGAAUAACAAAACCAAGAAAGACUAAUUCUUGCCAUGUACAAAUAUGCAGAUAGAAUCAUAUCAUUACCACAUGUUGGAAUAAUCAAUCUUCCCAAGGAGCCUAUACAUCAAACAAACCAGGUAAUAACAACAAAAAUUUAAGCUUAGGCACACACAGAUUGAUCCCACAAUAGAUCUGCUCAGGCACUCAUAGAUUUAGUCAAGGUGCCCAUAACCAAUUUCCAAGUUAUAUGUAUCUGUAAGGGUUACUAAAUGUUAAUAAUGCAGGGGAAAUUCAUGUAAGUAACAAUAAAGAGAAGGAAAUCAACUUUCUUACUUCACAAGAAAAACCAUUGAACCAAUGAAAUUCAACCACCGAACCAUUGAACUCUUCUAGCAUAUGAACAUCACAAGGAUUUGGUUUUCUAAGGCCAUUAACAUUAUGAGUGGGAAAUGUAUUGGAAGAUUCCCAACAAAAAUAAACAAACUUUUCUUUCAUAAUCAUGGAGAAGAAAUCCAAAAUCCAAAAAUAUAGCAAAGUAUGAGGGGAAAAUGGUCACUGAAAAAGAAACUCCCACAUUGAUAACUUUAUUUUAAUUUAGUCUGUCUACCUCAUAUUACAUCAAUAUAGGCCACGGUACAAUUCAAAUUCACAUCAUUAAACAUAGUUUUUGGGUCAAAAUUCAACAUCCAACGCAAUGUCGCAAUAUUUCCACUUAGUCAACAUUAGCAGAGUAUCAAGCACCAAUGGACGGCAACUCUAGUAUCUGAACUUACUACUACUUAGAGACUAUAAUACCAAUGAAGGAGCCGUAAGGAGAUUUUAAGCAUAAAUUACAUUAUAACUAGAAAAUGCGAUUACCGAGGUGAUGUACAUGUAGCAGCUUGAGAAAAAAGACAAACACCUGGAAGGCAAAAUGGGAAAAUUUGUAAGAAUAUAUUAUUAUGUAAUGGUACGGAACCAGAGUAUAGCAAUGGUGAUAGAUUUUGCAGCAGCAAUUAACUUAAUCUUAACAAAAUGAAUGGAACAGGAGACUGUAAAGGAAAAUUAUGAACUCAGCUUCUCAUUAAUGACUUGAUAACAAAUUACAGAAACAGAAACAAUGGAUUCAGAGAGGGGAGGAAAGAAUGAAGGAAAAACAUGAGAGGGGAGGAGAGGGAAUUUGGUAGAGCCAAAUCUCUCUUUACAACUAAUUGGCAAUAUGACAAAAACUUAACUAUCACAAAGAUCCUCUGAGCUUUUAUUGUUUUCAGAACUAACUCCUAAUCUGUCCAAUAAACUAAUGACACGUGUAAUUCUAGAAUCAUCAGCUGCAGUGGUUCAUAACCGAAGCAUAAUUCUGUUAUUCCUAGUGAAGGCGUGUCUUUUGAAGUCACGCCUUCUUCUUUCUUCAAGCUGAUCAACCGCGCCUUCUUCGAACUCUGGAUCACGCCUUCUUCUUCCUUUAAGUUGAACUGGGGGAAACUUUCUGCAAUCUCUCUGCACUCCAUGACAGAGUCUCCCCCUUCAAGAAAUCUUGCCCUCAAGAUUGUCACUGUGGAAACUGCUUCUCAAUUUCUUCUGCAAACUCCUAUGUUGCCUCUGCUGGAUCUGUUCCCCACCAAUGAAUCAGCCAUUGCACUGCAGUAGCAUUCCUUUUCUUGACUAUUCUCCUAGCUAAUACUGCAACUGGCUCGACCCUUAAGUGUCCCUUUCCAUCAACCUCUGGUAGUUGCAGGAUAGGUGUGAUCUGAUCUCCAGUCUUCUUCUUCAGUAGAGAGACAUGGAAAACAGGAUGUAUUUUGGAACUUGUUGGCAACUUCAACCUGUAUGCCACCUCCCCAAUCUUUUCUAUCACUUCAUAGGGUCCAUAGUAUCUUGCUGACAGCUUGGUGUUGCCUCUUAUAGCCACUGAAUGUUGCCUGUAAGGAUGUAGCCUCAAGUACACCUAAUCCCCUACUUCAAACUUUCAUUCACUCCUUUUUUCAUCAGCAUACCUUUUCAUUCUCUUUUGAGCCUGCUUCAAAUUCUGCUUCAGUGUAAUGUCAAUUUUAUGCCUUUCCUUCAAAUAGUCCCCAACUACAGCCAUCUUAGUCUGGGAGUAGGGUCCCAGUGCCAGUUUGUGGUGGUGCCUGAACGUAUAAUGCUUCAAAGGGAGUCAUCUGAAUAGCUGUGUGGUAACUGGUGUUAUACAACCAUUCUACCAUAGACAGCCAAUGAUUCCACUUCUUUAGUUCCAAAUGUGAGAAACAUCUGAGAUACAUUUCUAGUACCUGAUUUACUCUCUCAGUUUGGCCAUCAGAUUGUGGGUGGUAAGUUGUGCUGAGGUCCAACUUAGCUCCCAGCAGGGUAAACAUCUUACCCCAAAAUUGACUGGUGAAAAUCCUAUCCCUGUCUGAUAGCAUACUUUGGGGUACUCCAUGCAGCUUGACUACCCCAUCCAUGAAUAUUCUGGCAAUUUUAGGGGCAUCAAAAGGGUGUGAAAUGCUCAGAAAAUGAGCAUACUUGGUACACCUGUCUACCGAUACCAUAAUGGUAUCCCUUCCUUCAGAGAUAGGCAAUCCUUCAAUGAAGUCCAUAGUGACAUGGCUCCAAGGGUACUGCGGGUUGGGAAGAGGUUGCAGUAACCCUGGAUAGGAUACAUGCUCAUCCUUGCAUUUCCUACAUAUAUCACACUCCAGUAUUGCUGGUUUAUUGUCUUUAUACAUGCCUGGCCAGUAGAAUAGUUGCUUGGCCCUCAUGAAUCUUGCUUGUAUGCCAGAAUGUCCUCCCAAUUGUGAGUCAUAUAGGGUGGUGAUCAGUAUUUUCCUUAUGUCCCCUCCAGAUCCCACAACCAUUCUUCCUUUGAACUUCAGUAUACCAUUUUGGUAACUGAGGUUGGGGGUUUGGUCAUGGUUCAAUAAUACCUCUUUAAUGCUAUUCUGUGCCCAAUCAUCCCCUUGGUAGCUGCUAAUUACUUCCUUGAUCCAUUCUGGAACUAUGAUAGUUGUUGCAGUGCACUCCAAGCCUUGAUCACUUCUUCUGGAUAAGGCAUUUGCUACCACAUUCUCCUUUCCCUUUCUAUAAUGGAUCUCAUAACUCAGUCCAAUGAGUUUAGUUAGCCAUUUCUGCUAUAGGAGGUGGUGAUCCUUUGCUCCAGUAGGUACUUCAAGCUCUGGUGAUCAGUAUUAAUGAUGAAGUGCUAACCCUCUAGGUAGUGCCUCCAUUUGGUGACUGCUGUCACUAGAGCCAACAACUCCUUCUCAUAGACGGAUAAUCCUACAUCCUUUGGCCCUAAACCCUGACUAAUGUAAGCUAAUGGUCUCUUGUUCUACAUUAGAACUGCCCCUAUCCCUUUGUAGCAAGCAUCAGUCUCUAUCACAGAGGGUUGGCUGAAAUCAGGCAAGGCCAGUACAGGAGUAUCACACAUGGCCCUUUUGAGUUUUUGAAAUGCUUCCUCAGCUUCUGCCCCCAUUGGAAGUUGUCCUUCUUUAACAGUGUAGUCAAUGGCCUAGCUAUGCUUCCAUACCUUUUAACAAACCUCUUGUAGUACCCAGUCAAGCCUAGGAAUCCCCUCAGCUGUUUUACAUUCUCUGGUCUAGCCCACUUCAUCAUAACUUCAACCUUCCUAGGAUCAGCUUUUACCCCCUUAGCUGAGAUGAUGUGCCCAGGUAUUCCACCUGUGUCUGAGCAAAGGCACAUUUGCUCCUCUUGGCAUACAGCUGUUGCUCCUUGAGGAUGUUCAGAACCUCUGUAACAUGCUUCAAAUGCUCUUGUAAACUUGAGCUGUAUACUAGCAUGUCAUCAAAGAAUACCAGUACAAACUUCCUCAGUUGUUUUUAAAACACAUGGUUCAUUAAGCCCUGGAAGGUAGCAGGGGCAUUGGUCAGCCCAAAUGGCAUCAGCUUGAACUCAUAGAGCCCCUGAUGAGUUCUGAAUGCAGUCUUGGGAAUGUCCUCAGUCUUGACCCUGAUUUGGAAGUACCCUACCCUCAAGUCUAUCUUGGUGAAGUAUUUGGAUCCAUUCAACUCAUCCAAAAGCUUAUCAAUAAGGGGUAUUGGCUAUUUGCUUUUAACUAUUAGCUCAUUCAACUGCCUAUAGUCCACACAGAAUCUCCAAGUGCCAUUCUUUUUUUUCACAAGCAGUAUAGGAGAUGCAAAAGGGCUGUUGCUGAGCUGAAUGAUACCAUUUCCUAGCAUUUCCUGCACCAGUUUCUCAAUUUCAGUCUUCUAUACAUAUGGACAUCUAUAUGGCCUGAUCUGGAAAGGCUUGGACCCCUCUUUAAGUGUUAUGGAAUGGUCAUGACUCCUUUCAGGGGGCAACCCUCGGGGUUCCCUGAACACAUCCUUAAACUCCUAUAGUACCCCCUCAAUUUCUGGGGUAUGGACUCAGGAUCCUGCACUUCUUCAUUCACUGCACUCAGUUGUGCUAAGAUCCCAUAAGCCUGUUUCCUAGCCCACUUGUGCAGCCUACUUCCCUUUAUCAGCCUUAGCUGCACUGAGUUAUUCUCUCCUUUAAUUCCACCUGUUGUUUUCCCUUCUUGAACUUCACACUCAGCCCCUUAAAGUCAAACUCCAUGGGGCUGAACCUGGCAAGCCAGUCUACUUCUAACACCAUAUCAUAUCCCCCCAACUUCAAUGUGUUGAACUGGUGCUGAAACUCAUAGCCUUGCAUCUUCCAUACCACAGGCUUAGCUAGACUUCUGGACUGUACCCUCUACCCAUUAGCCACCUUAACUACUAGGGAAGGUCCCCUAAUGUCCAGUCCUAGGUUUCUAGCCAAUUGCUCAUCUAGAAAGCAGUGAGUACUACCACUGUCAAUCAGUGCAGUGACAGUCCUACCCCUUAUUAUCCUCUUCAAUCUAAUAGUUUUAUGCUCACUCCCCCCUGCCAGAGCAUGGACAGAAACUUCUAUUUGUUCAUCCUCUAGUUUGCCCUCAAUACAGUCACAGAAAAUAUCAGAUUCAGCCUCCUUCUCACUUUCAUUAGUUGUAGGGUCCUCAUUUACAUCAUUUACCAGCAAAAGAUGAAUGUGAGAUUGCUUACAUACAUGGCCAAGAGUAUAGGGUUCAGCACAUUUAUAACACAGUCCUUUCUCUCUUUUGAUGUUGAACUCACUAGGAGUGAUCCUUUUGAACAGGUUCUGGUUGCUGUUUGGAUUUUUGUAACUUUUAGUGGGAGGUUUAUCUGAGGUUCUGGGGGUGAAGGGGCUCCAUUGGGUAUAGCCCUGAGGGUGGAAUGGGGCUUUUUGUGGCUGGGAGGUAUUAGGUAGGGUCUCGUGAAUUUUUUGCAUGGCUUUUAAGUUUUUCUCCUGCAACUUGGCUACUUCUAUUGUAUCAGCCAGGGUUAGGGGUUUUGCCAUUUUGACCAUAUUAACUAUUUCUUCCUUUAAGCCACUUAUAAAACAUGCCUUGUAAUAAGAAUCAGUCAAAUGAGGAAGGGAAGGCAUUACCAGUGCUUUGAGCAACUCAAACUUCUCCAAGUAGUCUGCUACAGAGCCUACCUAUCUUUCUCUUGUUGAAUUCCUCAAUGGCUUCCUCUGGAGUGCCUUCACCAAAUCUUUCACACAGUGCAGUGGCAAGUUCAGUCCAUGGAAUGGCUUCUCUACCACUAAACACCCCAUGGAACUAGGUGUCGGCUCUGUCUCUCAGGUACAGUUCUGCAAUCUCAGACUUCAUGUUUUCCUCCACUUCGUUGAUCUUGAAGAACUUGUUAUCCUUUCUGAUCCAUUCCCUUGGAUUAUCUCCUGUGAAAUUAGGCAGCUCCAUCUUAGGUACCCUAGCAAAGGACCUGCUCUUCUUCCAAUCUGAUCUACCCUGGCCUUCAUUUUGUGUUUCUCCCUUCCUGCCUCCUUUCUUAGGACUUGCUAUACAGCUGCUACUUUCCACAUCUUUGUCCUUGUCAUUCAACUUUGCCAUCAUCUGUGCCAUCAUAGACGUCAUACUUUCAUACUUCUGAUCUAGACUCUUAAGGGUUCUCUCAGUACCUUCCUGCCUGUGUUCCAGAACCUUGACCACACUACCUAGCUCAGUUAGAUCCUUCUUUAGCAUUUCAUCUUGUGAUUUUGUCAUCCCAAUGGUCAUAGCUGAGCUCUGAUACCACUGUAAUAGUACAGAACCAGAGUAUAGCAAUGGUGAUAGAUUUUGCAGCAGCAAUGAACUUCAUCUUAACAAAAUGAAUGGAACAGGAGACUGUAAAGGAAAAUUAUGAACUCAGCUUCUCAUUAAUAACUUGAUAACAAAUUACAGAAAUAGAAACAAUGGAUUCAGAGAGGGGAGGAAAAAAUGAAGGAAAAAUGUGAGAGGGAAGUAGAGGGAAUUUGGCAGAGCCAAAUCUCUCUUUACAACCAAUUGGCAAUAUGACAAAAACUUAACUAUCACAAAGAUCCUCUGAGCUUUUAUUGUUUUCAGGACUAACUAACUCCUAAUCUGUCCAAUAAACUAAUGACACGUGUAAUUCUAGAAUCAUCAGCUGCAGUGGUCCAUAAUCGAAGCAUAAUUCUGUUAUUCCUAGUGAAGGCGUGUUUUUUGAAGUCACGUCUUCAUCUUUCUUCAAGCUGAUCAACCGCGCCUUCUUCGAACUCUGGAUCACACCUUCUUCUUCCUUUAAGCUGAACUUGGGAAAACUUUCUGCAAUCUCUCUACACUUCAUGACAUAUUAAACUAAAGCAAUCACAAGAAAACAAACCAUCAGCGAUUGAAAUUUAUAAGUUUUCAGAAAAGGAAAUGAAAUGCAUUCAAUUAUAUGACCCAAAUUUCAAUACUUCAACAAACUGAUGAGCCCAAUUUAGCACAUAUUACUCCCAGGAGUCAUGGAUGAUCACGUCCAACUUAAUUAGGAAGGAACAAAAAAAAACUGAUUACCACGUAUAAUUAACAAUGAUUCCUGCUCUAGCCAAGCUGGAGGAGAGCGAUCGAGGAGUAAGGUCAAGCUAACGGCAAUAACAAAACCAAAAUCUUGUGAGGCAGAGAGAAGGGGAGGAGAAGACAGAAACGAAGGGGGCCGAAAUAACCUGGAGGAGAAAGGCGUGAACAAAUGACUCUCACGUGCUGGGGACACUAAUACAUUGCUAACUAAAAUUGCUGACCAACGAAAUGGCCACCAGAGUUGAGUAAAAUUACAGUAUAACCAGUCCAUGGUUACUGUUCAUAAGCUAAAUGGCUCUUUUAACAUCGCCAUGUAUGUCAUCACCUUUCACUUUUUAUAAGGGUCCGUUUGGUUCAUGGAAUGACACAGGAUUGGGUUAAUCAUCCUGUGUCAUCCCAGGUUCGAUUGCAUUUUAUAUAUAGGAUGACACAUCCUAUUUAACCGAAUUAAUCCUUUAUUCAUGGGAUAAAAUAAUCCCAUGAAGGAGAUGUGAUUAGUCAUCCCGGGAUGACUAACAGACAGAAUGAUAAAAUUUUAAACUAAUUUAUCCUUACAAAAAAUACAAAUUUAUACUCUUAUAAUUAUAUAAUCCUACUUUCACAUGAUAAUAUAAUAGGAAUGGAAUAAUUUGCCCCUACUAUUUAAUUUUAAAUUUUUUGACUAAUUUGCCCCUACUACCAAUAUAACAAUAUUUAGACUAAUUUAUCCUUAUGAAUGAUUCAAAUUUAAAUUAGCUAUUAUAUAACCAUACUCUCACAUAAUAAUAUCAUAAUAAACAGAGAAUUAGCCCCUACUAAUUCUAUUAAAGUUUUUGACUAAUUUGCCCCUAUUCAUUAUUUUAAAAAUUUUGACUUACCCCUAUUCAUUGAUUUAAAUUUUUUGACUAAUUUGCCAUACUAACAUCAUAAUAGAAGGACUAUAUUACCCUUGGACUAAAUUACCCUUACUAACCUUAUUUUCUAAAUGAAAUUUAUAUAAAUAUAUAAUCUUAUUAAUUGGACUUUGUGAAUGAGGACUUCAAUAAGUUCAAACUCGAUCCAAAGAAGAAUCUUCGAUAUUAGCCUGAGUUCGGCUCAUUGAAAACUCUUAAAUGAGUUAGAUUUUAAUUGAUUUAACCUUAAUUUAGCCAAAACUUGGCCCAUUAUUUAAUUGAAUUUAAAAUUUAGGUUCAAAAGUUUAGUCAAAAUCUGUUUUAAGGACCCAAAUGGGCUAAGUUUGAAUGAAUGCAAAUUUUUAUCUAUCAAAACCCUUGAUUUACUUUAUAAUUAUAAAGUUUUAAACUACUUUAUUUUAAUAAAAUUUAUAAAUAUUAAAUUAUUUAUUAGAUUAUUUAAUUAAAUAAUAUUAAAUUAUUUUAUUAAUAUUUAUAAAAUAUUAGAUUAUUUUAUUAAAAAGAAUCUACAAAUUAAGGGAUGCUUUGGUCAUUAAAAUAGGAAUCCUUCCCCAUCCAAUCUCCAACCAAACACGGGAUAGGAUUAUUUUCUAACAUAUCUUAUCCAACUGAGAACCAACCAUACAUUAGAUAAUUUGGAUUAUUUAUCCGGAGAUGACUCAACCUAGGAUUAAUAAUCCGAGGAUGAGUCAUCCCAUCUCAUCCAGUCCGUGAACCAAACGGACCCUAAAGGAUAAUUUCAAAAAUCUCUCUAAAGGUUUCAUGAAAUAUCACUUAACUCUCUUGAGAUUUUUAGAAUCCCACUUAGCACCUCUCAAAGUGACAUUUUGGUAACAUUGUAAGACCUUCUAACCAAAAGUAAUAUUAGAAAAUUCAUAUUUGAGGAGAAAGACCAUUUUAGUGCCCUUAAUACCCUUAGGCUAUUAAAAAUAUGAAUAUUUUAUAAAUCAAGAUAAAUUGGUACCAUUUUAAAAGUGAGGGGAUGAAAGUUGAUAAGUAUUUAUGUUAUAGCCAAUAUUCACUUCUAUAGCAGAGAGAGAUAGUAAUAGCAAAUACUAUUCUUUAAACCAUUUCUACAAAUAAAACCCUUCAUAGCAUUGAAGGCAAUUAGCAUGUAAAACUCAUACAUUUGAGUAAUAAAUAAAAUUUAACUUCAAUAUCAUACAGAGAAUUUACGUAAAAUAGACUGACUUUUUUAUGGAUGUGAAAGAUGUCAAUUUUUUUUUAUAAAAAGAAAAAGUUAGAAUUGGAAAAACCACAAAGUCUGGAGAUUCAAUUACUUCAUUUCUCUCGCACUCUACAUGAAUAGGAACAAACAAAUAAAUAAAUAGAUAAAUAUAGUUGUGAAACACAAAAAAGGAAAAAAAGAACUUGUAGCUAUUCUUCUCCAAAUGUGUUGAAUAUUUCAUUGACAUUUGCAAUUCAUAUAUAUAUAUAUAUAUAUAUAUAUAUAUAUAUUCUAUAAAACAUAGGAAUAUAUGUAUGUAUAGAAAUUGUUAAAGAAAUUUAAAUAUAAGGGUAUUAUUGACAAUUCAUUACCUUUGAUGUUGGUAUAUGGUCCCACUAUUACUUCAAGAGUGCUAAGCAAGAUAUUGAAAAUUUCAAGGGAGUUAGGUGAUAUUUCUUGAAACCUCCGGGUAGAUUUCUGAAAUUAUCCCUUCUAUAAAUCCCAAAGAAUGUUUGGAAAGUUAUUUUGCACAAUUCUAUGUUAAAAUCUCCAACUGAUACCUUAACAACACCCUAGUGGAAACAAUCGCUAACUUCAAUGAGUAGUUGCAAAGGACGUCGAAUUUUGUUUUAGCUUUAAUGACCAGCCCAACAUGCAGGUGUGAAUUUCCCUAUUAUUGUAGAGAAACCAUUUAUAGUAGUGCAAAAACAUGAGCAAGAGAAAGUGCGAGCAUUUUGAGAAAUUGCCUUUCAAAACAAUCACUAAGAAAUCUAAUCUCUUUGAAAGGCAUCAAAGUCUAACUAAUGCAGUUCUUUGAAGCCUCACUAGAACGUCUAUCGGGUCUAAGCACAUUAACCUAAAUACAACUAAAGUGCCCAUUGAAGAUAGCCACGGACAAGUUCUCUACCUGCCAAGAGACGCCAAGUUUUGACUCCCAACAGCAAGCUAAAUUUUGGAUUCCAAGGAGAUGCAUACCUCAUCUUCAAUAUUAAUUAGAUGUACACCUUGUAGGGCAAUUAUUACAAUGAUAAUAAUAUUUUGGUGACAAAACUAUUUCUUCUAACUAUCUCUUCCUACAUCUUUUUAACUUGCAUAUUAACUUCAUUAAACUAGCGUUUGCAUCCCCAACAUCUGGCUAUUUCUUACUCGCCUGACGAAUUUUCAAACAAGUUCAUCAACGUAUCAACAGCUCUUAUGUAGCAUCAGCAUCACCCAAUCCACCAACAAUACAAUCGUUCAAGAGGACACUAAAAAAAAAACUGUAAAACUUGGUAAAAGGAUUAAAAAAAAAAAAAAGAAGCUCUGACGCACUAAUAUGAAAAUAAAAUCUAGCAAAUAAAAAACCAAUCAAAAGCUCCCCUUGAAUUGCAAUGCCAGUGCAAGAAAAAAUGUAGUAAGAUUUCUCCAUGUAGCAAUGUUCAAUAUUAUUUGUAUGGUAAACAUAAUAAAGUGGGAUAUAAUUUUUUUUUGGACAAGUGGAAUAUAAUGUUAGCAUGACUAAUGAAGGAAAAAGAGGACAUAUCAAGAUAAAGUCCAGUUACCAAUAACAGAUCCGAGCAUAGAAAAUGAAAGACGUAUUGUAUCACUAUUAGUUCAGUAAUAACCACAAGCAAAAUACAAUUAGGCAUUCGAUUGGGGGGAGAGAGAGAAGGAAAAUCAUGCUCAUGCAUCUUCCUUCACUUUAACUUUUAACUCGUACAUAUUAUCUUGAAACCCAUCAAAAAAAGCAUCAAUCUUAUCGAAGUUUUUGCAAUACCCACAAAACAAAAAUCAAGCUUCUUUGAAUGUGCAACAAUAGCAAAACGCUUAAUAAAUCAGGCAAACUAGUUAAAGAAAUCGCAAGAAAUGGCCGUAGAAUUCCUUAAUUAAUUUUUUCAAUUAUUACCAAUCACGUUAUCAAUUAGGUAAAAAAAAUGUAUCAGUUAAAAAUUGUCGCGCCCCAUUUUUCGCGAUGGAAAAUAAAAAGGGUUUAUAAAAGAUUUGAUUCUAUAAAUGAAAAAUGAAAAAAAGACCUAAAAUGGGACUUUAAAAAAUGCGACAAUUUGGGUCCAAAAAUAUAGUCUAAAAAGAGUUUUUUAAGAAAAAAAUAGAAAUCGCCACUUGGUAUCAAGUUUGGGUGUACCAAGUCACCCAAAAAGUGUUUUUAAAUAAAAUAAAAUAAAACCCUUUUCGACAACUCCAGGUCUUUGAAAACAGAGAAAAUGGGCUCGGGAGUCACGGUUGAAAAAAGGGAAGGCAAAGGUUCAAUUAUCUCAAAUCUAAGGCACCCUUUCAACCUAGUCUAAGCUAGUUGCGUGGUUUAGUCAAAAUUUUCUUAAUCUAACCCUUAAAUUUAUCACAUUUGGAUGUUUCUUCAAUGGAUGCAAAUCUAAAUUUAUAAAAUAUCAAAAGGGACAAAAUGUUCAUUCAAGGGUUUGAUCGAACCAAUCGCAUUAAUUGCGAAGGCCAAAAUGAUUCCUUGAAAGUGUCACGAGUAUGCGAAUGAUGAAAUUAAAAUAAGAGAAAAGAAAUUAAAUUAUAUACAUAUAUAUAAGUGAUUAAAGAAAAAGGGAAUGCAACAUAAAGGGUACGGGAGAUAAAAACCCGUGACAUGAUUUUCUUAUACAUGGAUUAAUAGGGUAUUUAAACUAAAAAGUUAUAAUCACCCAUUUUCCAUGUUUAAAAAAAAAAUAACUAUCCUAACAUGAACAAGCAAAUGAACUAGCUUAAAUGAGAUGCAAUUCUAAAUGACAUGAUUAGCACCUAUAGAGGGUAGGGGGAUAAUAUAGUAGGGAAUAUCAUACAAAUGAGAAAAGAUCCUAAAAAUGAAAAUAUGCAUGAAAAUGUAGUGAAUAGCACACAAAGAUGAAUCUAGCGCAAGGCGACCUAAUGGGUUUAGCGUUGGACUAGCCCAUCUCUAAAAAUCCUUACUAGCAUUGGACUAGCAAGUAAACGGAGGGAGAAGCCACAACUAGCGUUGGACUAGUGUGGUGGCGUCAUGCAUUAACAAUUCAUAGUGAAACAAAUAAAGCAUAAAUUAAAACAAAUAAACACGUAAGAGCACGUAGCACAUAACACAUAAGCAUAAUAUCUAGAUGCAAAAAUCCUAGGGAAAGCGGAUAAGGCACGUAACACAUAAGCCACAUAAGCACACAACCUAUCUAUUACAUCGGGGAGCGCCUAACUACAAUCUAAAAGGGGAAAUAAAAUAAAACAAAUCUAAUUAUCCUAUCUAUUACAUUUUUGAGGUAUUUAAGUGCCUUUCAAAUAAUUAUAAAAUUAACUAAACAAACAUAAGAAAAUUUAAAUGAACAUUCAAAUCAAAUAAACAAAGCAUAUAAAAAUAUAUAAACAUAUAGGAACACGUAGGAGCACAUAAGAACACGUAAUUGACAUUGAAAUAAUAAUAAUGGGGUACCUCCCUUUUGAAAUGGUGACUAAACGGAGUCAAAUUGCCAUAUUUAUACUCAAAAUGAACAAAAGAAUCAUGGCACCAAUUUAAUUGAAAAAACUAAUAAUAAUAAUGAAAAUUCACCUCAAUAUGUCAAACGUAAAUAAAUUUAAGAAUAUCUAAAAAUUACAAGUUGAACAUACUCAAAAGUAACAUAAUUAACUAUUAAAGAAAAGAAACAAUCAUAAUAAAGAGAGUCAAAAUUCACUAGGAACUGAAUUGCAAAAAUCGAAAAACUUUUGGGGACAAAAAUUAUAUUUUUCAAAGUUUAGAGGUCAAAAUUAAAUGAAAGAUAAAAUUCAGGGACCAAAAUGCAAUUAAUUUAAGGACCUAAGUGAAACAAAAUUAAAAUGUUCUGAGCCACAAUAAAACUACUCCAAAGAUCAGGGGCCAAAGUGCAAAAUUCAGUUUCUGAUUUGGGAGAAGAAAGGCCAUCGGGCCGUCAUUUUUAUUUAUUUGGGCCGGAUACUACCUAAGCCCAACCGAAACCCAAAAGAAACGAGCAGGCCAGCCUGUCUUUUUAUCCCUCAAACCCAACCAAAAAAAACAUGGGCUCCGACCUUCUAACCCAACCAAAAAAUAAGAAACAAGCCCACUAAAAAAACCUACAUUAACUUAGCCCAACCCACUUUCCUUUUCUUUCUCUUUUCUUCCCCAUACGUUUCCUUUCCUUCUUCUUCGGCCAACCGAAGAAGCUUCAGCUGGCAGCCAUGGUGGCCGCCGGUGGCGCCGCCGCCACCGACCGCCACCGCCGGCGACCUUUCCGGUGAUUAAAAUUUCUCAAAAUGCACCUUCCCACUCCAUUUUUCGCGUAGGUUCCAUUUUCGAAGUUAUUUUUUACAAAAAAGGAAAACAAAGUGGUCAAAAUAGCAAAAAUCAGUCUAGUUUUUAUUCUUUUAUAAUCCUUAAACCUUCGCCAAAAAAACAUGAAAAUUAUGCCAAAACCCUCCUUAUAACCUCUACAUUACAACUAUAACCUUAGUUAACAAGAAAACAACAACAAAAUGAUGCAUUAAGUCACAACAGCCCCAAAAAUGAAGAAAAUUAUUCUAAUGCUUUGAAGGCUCAAAACCCCAAAAUUUUGGAUAACCAAGCAUUUUCAGAUCUUUGCUAGCUAAUGGUCUUCCAUUUAAGCAAAACAUACACGCCAAAUUCACUUCUUUGAUUCAUUUUUUCAUUUAGACAUUUUUUCAAACAUUUGGCAUGCAUUCACAGCACCGUUUCUUUUUUCCUAAUUUUGUUCAGUGACCCAUCCCAAAAUUUCAUCCAUACAACACCAACAAAAACCAGCAAAAAUAAGCAAUAAAAAAGGGUAACCACACAUACAUUCAAUCUAGUUAAUUUAAAAAAGAAAAGCUGGAAAAAGGGAGAUAAAUACCUCAAUGAAGAGUUUGGUCCCUUUGCCAAGAUUUUUGAUGAAAUUGCCAAGCUCCAAUCCAACCGAUUGCUGCCUUGUUGUGUGCAAAUGUGUUGGAAAAAAUUUGGGAGAGAGGAGAGCCGAGAGAGAGAGAGAGGAGUUUUUCUCUUUUUUUUUCUUCUUCUUUUUGGUCCAGCCCAGAGAGAGAGCCGAGAGCCUCCCUUUUAUUUUUUGUGUGUUUUUUUUUCUUUUCUCCUUCUUUUCCAGAGAGAGCCGAGAGGGACUUGUAGCAAAAAAUGGAGCUUGUGUGCUGAAUCUUCCAAAAAUGAUGAUUUCUUAGCUAAUGAAAGAAAGGUCCAUGGCAAUUGAGUGUGGAAUGGGUCAAUAGUUGUUUUGGCAGGGAAAAUGAUGAAAGUGAUUUUUUAUUUCUUGAUUUUUCUCUUUUGUUUUGUGUUUUUUUUUUCUUUUUCCAAAAACAAAC
Molecule: long non-coding RNA, 87785 nt
Filed under: Coffea arabica (coffee)
Lineage: Eukaryota; Viridiplantae; Streptophyta; Magnoliopsida; Gentianales; Rubiaceae
Description: long non-coding RNA (CARA_LNC002231)
Source: RNAcentral